UUUUUUUUUGGUCUUUUGGACUGUUUUUAUUCUUUUUUAUUUCUUAUUUUAUUUUUUUAAUAUUUAUGCAUGAACUUUUCCCAAAUUCUAGAACAUUCUAAAAAAUCGCAUAAUAUUUUCAAAUUAGUAAAUAUUUUUUCCAAAGCACAUGAACUUUUUUUUAAAUUUGUGCAUAUUCUUUCAAAAUCCGUGAACUUUUAUAAAUUCAUGAACUUUUUUCCAAAACCGAUGAGAAUUUUUAAAAUCCACGAAUUUUAUUUGACUUUGUGAAGUUUCUUUCGGAAAUCUUGAAGUUCCUUCGAAUUCUGUGAAGUCUUUUUGUUUUUUAUGAACUUUUUUUAAUACCUUUUUAAUGAAUUUUCUUGAAAAGUCAACAGUCAAUCGCGACCGAUCAACCGCGACUAGUGAACCGGGAAAACCGGCGAGCGAGCGAUCGAUGCCCCCCUUGUUGGACGAGACUUGCCUGCUCCCUCGACGUGUGCCCAUCCGUGCUCCCGCGUACGUGGCUUGAUUUGAUUGAAACAAAAUAAGGCCCGACUCCACCCCCUUAAAAUUAGGAGGGGAGAUGAUUAGAUUAGAAAGAAAAGAAGAAAAAAAACAAUCGUAAGAUAAGUAAGAGCACGGAUGGAAGCAUGGAGAGGGAGCAGGCAAGCCGGAUCCCCCCUUGUUGAGCCCGCCCAUGAGUGAUGGCGCUUAAAGCGAUGGGGAGGAGCUCUUAAUUACAGCCCGCGAGCGGCAAACAGAUGUGGCUUCGCCCGCAGCGCCCUUGGGUGGCUGGCCCAGUUCGUGGCAAGCGAACUCCUCGCUUACUGGUUGUUUUUUUCGUUCGUGUUUCCUGUUUAGUUUUUUCUUUUUCCUUGUUUAUUUCUGGUUCGUCCAUGUUAUUCUCCUCUUUUGUUUGUUUGGUUUUUUCUUUCCUGUUUUUUAUAUUCCUUUUCAUUUACUUUUCUCCGUUUUUUUCAUAAAUUCAAACUUUAAAAAAACAUAACUUGAUUUUUUCGGAAAAUGAUCAAAAUUCCAAGUGUUGGUCAUAAUUUCAAAUAUUGUUCAUGCUUUUACAAUUAUUUCGCCAUUAAAAUAUUGUUCGCAUUUUCGAAUAAAAUUCUUAAUGGUUUCAAAUUUUGAUCAUGUUUUUAAACUAUUUUCUAAAUUUUGUUUUAAAAUUCUAAAAAUUGUUUAGAAUUCAAUUUUUUGCAAUUUCAAAACUGUUCGUAUUUUCUGAAAUAUUUUUUUACUUUUUCAAAAUGUACUCAUGUUUUUUAAAUCCGGUUCACUUUUUGAAAACUUUAUUUACCAUUAAAAAUGGUCGGAACUCAAAAAUGUUUUGCAACUAGAAAAAUGUUCACAUAUUUGUUCAUGUUUUCCAAAAUUGUCACAUUUUUAAAAUUUGUUACUUUGUAGAAAUUGGUCCAUAAAAAAUUUGGUUAUGAAAAAAAAUCGAAUUUGGAAUUUUUAAUCGCUUUUUGAAAUAAUACUCCUGUUUUCCACAAAUUAUUUUAUAUUUUAAAAAUAUUUGUGUUUGGACAAAAUGUUUGCAAUUUUCAGUUUUUUGUUUACAAUUUUCCUUAAUUGAUCGGAAAUAAACUCAAAAGUGGUUUGCUUCUGACGCUGGAAUUGGUUCUUAAAGUCUGGCGGUGCAGAUCGAACACUAGAAAUCAUCAUGUCAAUUUUCUAGGAACACAUGUUCACUAGUGGGAUGUCGCGAGUUCGAGCUCUCACUCACGCAGCACUUUUUGGCAACUUUUUUGGGUGUCUCGAAUAUGUUAGCUCUAAAUGGGUCAGCCCAUUUGCUCCUACCUUCAGCGAAGGCUCAACUAUUUGCCGCCCUUGGGCGUAAAAUAGGAGUUCUCAUAUUUCUUGUAGCAUCGUGCAAAAAAAUGUAUUUAUUUUGGAAGGGUCCUCAUGUAUGAGAACAUAUUCUAUGCACCUAGAGAACUUGUGCAUCAGGUGCACCAACUACUUAUUGGUCGUCUGAUGGAGAAGGAAACGACCACAUUAAGCUACAAGCUGGUCCCUGGCACAUUUACUGAAAGCCCCUAGAAUCUUUCUAUUUUCCUCCUCCCCUCCCCUAAAAAAAGAUGAGACAAUCCUUCCUGAGCUAGCUCUUCCAUCAAUUUUUUUUAUCUGUAAUUCAUUUGAAAAAGGAGCAAAAAAAUAGUUUGGUUUUUUUAUGGAAAACGAGAGUACUUUAUUAAUUCAAAAUAACAGUUACAUCGUCCAUGAGGAGGGGUACAAUAUCAUUCGGAGUUUUCUCAAACCAACAUAAGUCGUAGAAAACCUAGCUAACUUUGUAAGCUCAUGAGUGACCUUAUUUGCUAUCCUAUUACAAUAUUCAAAACUAGUUAAAGGAAAUCACAAACCCAAUGAUAACAGUCAUAAAAAACAACAGUCUCCGCUCCCGCAUAACAUCCUCCGUUCUUCUUGGUUUCGAUGACGAAAUUAUCCGAGUUGGUUACUAGUUGAUUGCAUCCAAACUUUUGCGCAAGGGAUAAUCCAAAUCUUAGCGCCAAUGUCUAAGUCAUUAGGACAUCCGUGCACCAAUUAAUUCUCAAUUUUUCCCCAAUAAUAAAAUUACGUUUGUGAUCUCUCUGAGCAGCACCAGUUCUACCCCUUAGCAAGUAUCGAUCGAAGGAAACACUAAUGUUGAGUUUUCCAAAAACCUUAGGGGCCUAACCCAACGGAAAUGACAUUCGGCUCCCGGGAGCACAUGCUGCUGCCUAUGGAAAAUGAAUUUUGAAAUGUCAAAAAAAAUCCCAACAAAAAAUUAUGUGUUCUUUGGCACAUCCAAUGCUACCUAAAAAUUCUUAGGCAAAAAAGUUAAGCAUUUUGGCAUGUGCAAAAAAAAUUUGAACAUCAAUUGUUACCCCCAAAAUGUCACACCAGAAUGUUUUUCACCGAAAAACAACGCUGCUCCAUUUUGCAUGAAAAUUAUCAAUCAUUCCUGCCACACCAACAUGAGCAUCUACACAAAAAAUCAUUUUUUAAUAUUAUUUUUUAUUUUACUGUUCAUCAAGGUGCAAAUGCACUCGGGAGCCAAAACACCUCGCCCUCCUAAUCCAACCCCCUCUUUUCAUGGUAGCAGUUGCAGAGGAAGCAAUGCCAUAACUAGACGUAAGUGCCUGGAUCCCCAUGUUAAUAUGAUUGACAUCUUGAGACGUCUCCUCAUGGAUUAGUUUGUGCCUUUCCCACCAUAAGUACCAAGUGAUAAUGGCUAUCAUUUCAUGCACAUUCUGCAUACCCAAAAGAGAUAACUUCUGAUCAAGUAGAAGAAGUAGAAACUCAAGUACAACCUCUCCAGUUGGAUAAAUUCACAAGCCCUUCUAAUAAUUUCAUCCAACCCGAGCAUCCUCCAAACCUCUUUAGCUUUAUAACAUAGGAACAUCAAGUGCUUCAAACUUCUGCUCCAUCCAAACAAGAAGGUCAUUGAGGAAAAACUUUGAUAUGUCUAUUAGCAAGCAUAACACGACAUGGGAGGCUGCCUGUGGAACCCCAGCUCAGAGCAACCGAUUUACCUUGCAUUGCCAGCACAGAGAUCUAGUCUUCUGGCAACACACAACAAUUUGGUACAGAAAAACAACUACUUUAUUGACAUAAGCGAGAACAUAGGUUUGAUAUUACAACAAGUAGCGAGGCCAAGCGACACACAUGAUGCGGCUGGACAAUAUGUACAUUAUUUAAUGAACAUAAGAGGGGCCUCGGUCACGAUGAAACGACUACACGGCAGCAGAAGAACAACGAAGCGGAACUCCAUAGCACAAGGACAUCGAUGUGGACACGGCCUAGACGCGGGUAGCACUCCGAUCUGGUACAACUUUCCUGAAAGCUGGCAUGACAUGCCAGGUUAGUCAGUACAUUGAAUGUACUUGCAAACUCACAACAAAUAAAGCAUAAUGACAAACAAUAACAUGACGAUUAAGCAAGUUAAAUGCAAGAACUACUCAUGAUGCUCAUUAAGUGAAUAUGCAUGUGACUAGAGUCCAUUGGACUCGCUUAUCAUCACGGUUACCUCGUAACCUCAAAGCACAUCAUCAUCACAGUGAUCACCUCCGGAUCACAACAGAAACCAUCACUAUGGUUCCAACAACGUAUCCAUCAUAACCAGUGACACAAGUUUACUUAGUGUGCAUGUUAACUUAUUUAUGUUGAUCCACGGCGUGACCUACUAUGAACUAUGUCCAUGACUGAGGACACGUCUAUCGAUAGAUUAAACACACACUAUACAGAGGUUAGCACACUGUACCCACACCACGGUAUCCAUGGCCUCGCACUCCCAUUCGGGUGGACCAACGGCAUUCCGACAGAACCAAUCCAUUGCCAUGACACUCUCCCGGCCACUCCGACCAACUCCCCAUUGGGCUAAGUCAUGGGUGGCCCCGAUGCCACUCUGGACAUCCAACGACCACCGCCGUGGAAAAGCAUAAAUGGUCCCGAACGGGGACAAGGUACCAUAACAACAAUGGGCACACAAGGUUAAGCCUGCCUACCAGGCAAGGGUAGCGCACGCGGAUAACCUUCCCUCGUUGGAGGCACCAACCAAAGGCAUGACAACGGACUGAAUAAGGGCCUUCCCACAAAGGCAAAUGUGGUUACACUGGGAAGCUCAAUUCGGUGGCACCAUGACUUGAUCAACAUUAUGUUCAAGUCGGAUUAUUCAUCAUAUUAAACUUGAAAUAAAAUACUCGAGCCAUAGUAUGCCAUGAACAUGCAUCUAUAUGAACAUGCAAGCAUAUCAUCAUGAUACCGGAAAGUAAUUACUCAUUCUCAAUGAUCAUAUCAAUGGCCAAGCUAAACCACUUAACAUGCUAAUGGACAUGAAGUAAUCAUAGCAAGAACUUGAUUCUACCAUAUGCUAAUAAUAUUCACCAUAAAGAAAUAAUACUGAUAAAUAUUCUACUCAAGAUCAUGCUCAAAAUAACUCCUAUAUUACAUACUAGAUCAUGCACUCAUAAGCUACUGAAAAACUAGACAAGCAUACCAAGAACUUGCAACUAGCAUUAUUGUGAUUAACCAAAUAUUUAAAUGCAUGAAAAUAAGUCAUAUUCAAGUUGGAAAUCAUGAUUAUUGAAAUGGCAUUCUGCAAAUAUUUGUGAUGGCUUGCCUUAGCACAGAGGAGGUUCAGACUCCUCCUGGAUCUCCUCAAGGCAAGUUUCUCCUUCUGAAAACAUUUAAAAGUGACAAAAGAAAAUGUCACAUAACACAUUUAAAUACCACAGAAAAGAUUUACAGCAGGCAAAAAUCUCAUCUUUUGCAUGCUGAAAGAGAAGAGCAAGACAAAAUUAGUGCAAAAAGAAUCAACUCAUUUGGACUUAUAGAAUAGGAGUUAUAGAUGGUCAAAGUUGAGUCAAAAUAUUUGAAUUAAACUGAAUAUUAGAAAAACCAGAGCGGCUGACGUUGAAGACGUAUUCCAGGGAAUGCGCCUCCACUCAUGCCGCUUCGGGCGCGCGCUGUGAGGCUGGCAGCGGGCCCGCCUAGUCAGGUGAGAGAGAGGGAAAGAGAAGAAAUAGAGGAAGUGAUUGUCACCGGUGCGUACGCCGGCGAGGAGAGCUCGGCGGCCGCCGUGGAAGGGAAGGAUGGACGUGUGAUGACCCACAAGUAUAGGGGAUCUAUCAUAGUCCUUUCGAUAAGUAAGAGUGUCGAACCCAGCGAGGAGCAGAAGAAAAUGAUAAGCGAUUUUCAGCAAGGUAUUCUGUGCAAGUACUGAAAUAAGUGGUAACAGAUAGUUUUGUGAUAGGAUAAUUUGUAACGAGCAACAAGUAACAAAAGUAAAUAAACUGCAGCAAGGAGGUCCAAUCCUUUUUGUAGCAAAGGACAAGCCUGGACAAACUCUUAUAUAGAGAAAAGCGAUCCUGAGGACACAUGAGAAUAUCGUCAAGCUAGUUUUCAUCACGUUCAUAUGAUUCGCGCUCGGUACUUUGAUAAUUUGGUAUGUGGGUGGACCGGUGCUUGGGUACUGUCCUUACUUGGACAAGCAUCCCACUUAUGAUUAACCUCUAUUGCAAGCAUCCGCAACUACAACAAAAGUAUUAAGGUAAACCUAACCAUAGCAUGAAACAUAUGGAUCCAAAUCAGCCCCUUACAAAGCAACGCAUAAACUAGGGUUUAAGCUUCUGUCACUCUAGCAACCCAUAAUCUACUUAUUACUUCCCAAUGCCUUCCUCUAGGCCCAAAUAAUGGUGAAGUGUUAUGUAGUCGACGUUCACAUAACACCACUAGAGGAGAGACAACAUACAUCUCAUCAAAAUAUCGAACGAAUACCAAUUUCACAUGACUACUAAUAGCAAGACUUCUCCCAUGUCCUCAGGAACAAACGUAACUACUCACAAAGCAUAAUCAUGUUCAUAAUCAGAGGGGUAUUAAUAUGCAUAUAGGAUCUGAACAUAUGAUCUUCCACCAAAUAAACCAACUAGCAUCAACUACAAGGAGUAAUUAACACUACUAGCAACCUACUAGUACCAAUCCCGGACUUGGAGACAAGAAUUGGAUACAAGAGAUGAACUAGGGUUUUGAGAGGAGAUGGUGCUGGUGAAAAUGUUGAUGGAGAUUGCCCUUUCCUGAUGAGAGAAGCGUUGGUGAUGACGGUGGCGAUGAUUUCCCCCUCCCGGAGGGAAGUUUCCCCGGCAGAACAGCUCCGCCAGAGCCCUAGAUUGGAUCCGCCAAGGUUCCGCCUCGUGGCGGUGGAGUUUCGUCCGAGGAGAUGGCUUAUGAUUUUUUUCUCAUCAAAGACUCCAUAUAGCAUAAGGUGGCCAUCGGAGGGCCACCAGGGGGCCCACGAGGUAGGGGGCGCGCCCAGGGGGUAGGGCGCGCCCCCACCCUCGUGGGCAGGGUGUGGCCCCCCUGGUGAACUUCUUGCGCUCAGUAUUUUUUAUAUAUUCUGAAAACGUCCUCCGUGAAGUUUUAGGACUUUUGGAGCUGUGCAGAAUAGGUCUCUAAUAUUUGCUCCUUUUCCAGCCUAGAAUCCCAGCUGCCGGCAUUCUCCCUCUUUAUGUAAACCUUGUAAAAUAAGAGAGAAUAGGCAUAAGUAUUGUGACAUAAUGUGUAAUAACAGCCCAUAAUGCAAUAAAUAUCGAUAUAAAAGCAUGAUGCAAAAUGAACGUAUCAACUCCCCCAAGCUUAGACCUCGCUUGUCCUCAAGCGAAAGCCGAAAUCGAAAAAUAUGUCCACAUGUUUGGAGAUAGAGGUGUCGAUAAAAGUAAAAUACGGACAUGAGGGCAUCAUGAUCGUUCUUAGAACAGCAACUUACAUAAUUCUUGUCAUGUGAUUUCUUAUGCUAGAAUAAUAAUUCAAUCACAAUUUCAAGCAUGAAUCGUAAACUUCAUUGAAAACUAACAAACUAUAAUCUCAGUCAUUGGAGCAAUUGCAAUUUAUCAUAACAUAGGAAAGAGUUAAUAUAUAAGAGCUUUUCAGCAAGUCCACAUACUCAACUAUCAUAUAGUCUUUCACAAUUGCCGACACUCACGCAAUACUUAUGGGUAUGGAGUUUUAAUCGGAUACAGAGAAAGAUAUGGGCUUAUAGUUUUGCUGAAGGAAAUAUGCCCUAGAGGCAAUAAUAAAGUUAUUAUUUAUUUCCUUAUAAUCAUGAUAAAUGUUUAUUAUUCAUGCUAGAAUUGUAUUAAUCAGAAACAUAAUACAUGUGUGAAUACAUAGACAAACAGAGUGUCACUAGUAUGCCUCUACUUGACUAGCUCGUUAAUCAAAGAUGGUUAUGUUUCCUAACCAUGAACAAAGUGUUGUUAUUUGAUUAACGAGGUCACAUCAUUAGUUGAAUGAUCUGAUUGACAUGACCCAUUCCAUUAGCUUAGCACCCGAUCGUUUAGUAUGUUGCUAUUGCUUUUCUUCAUGACUUAUACAUGUUCCUAUGACUAUGAGAUUAUGCAACUCCCGUUUACCGGAGGAACACUUUGUGUGCUACCAAACAUCACAACGUAAAUGGGUGAUUAUAAAGGAGCUCUACAGGUGUCUCCAAAGGUAGAUGUUGGGUUGGCGUAUUUCGAGAUUAGGAUUUGUCACUCCGAUUGUCGGAGAGGUAUCUCUGGGCCCUCUCGGUAAUGCACAUCACUUAAGCCUUGCAAGCAUUGCAACUAAAUGAGUUAGUUGCGGGAUGAUGUAUUAUGGAACGAGGAAAGAGACUUGCCGGUAAAGAGAUUGAACUAGGUAUAGGAAUACCGACGAUCGAAUCUCGGGCAAGUAACAUACAGAUGAUAACGGGAACAACGUAUGUUGUUAUGCGGUCUGACCGAUAAAGAUCUUCGUAGAAUAUGUAGGAGCCAAUAUGGGCAUCCAGGUCCCGCUAUUGGUUAUUGACCGGAGACGUGUCUCGGUCAUGUCUACAUUGUUCUCGAGCCCAUAGGGUCUGCACGCUUAAGGUUACGAUGACAGUUAUAUUAUGAGUAUAUACAUUUUGAUGUACCUAAGUUUGUUCGGAGUCCCGGAUGUGAUCACGGACAUGACGAGGAGUCUCGAAAUGGUCGAGACGUAAAGAUUGAUAUAUUGGAAGCCUAUGUUUGGAUAUUGGAAGUGUUCCGGGUGAAAUCGGGAUUUUACCGAAGUACCGGGAAUGUUACCGGAACCCCCCGUGAGUUAAAUGGGCCAUGAUGGGCCUUAGUGGAAAAGAGAAGAGGCAGCCCUACAUGGGCUGCGCGCCUCCCCCCUCCCCCUAGUCCUAUUAGGACUAGGAGAGGUGGCCGACCCCCUCUCUCUCUUUUCCCCCUCCGCGAAUCCUAUUCCAACUAGGAUUGGGGGGGGGGGGAAUCCUACUCCCAGAGGGAGUAGGACUCUCCUGGCGCGCUACACCUUGGCCAGCCAGCCUCCCCCCUCUAGUCCUUUAUAUACUGAGGUAGAGGCACCCUAGAACACACAAGUUGAUCCACGUGAUCUAUUCCUUAGCCGUGUGCGGUUCCCCCUGCCACCAUAUUCCUCGAUAAUACUGUAGCGGAGUUUAGGUGAAGCCCUGCUGCUGUAGUGCAUCAAGUUCGUUACCACGCCGUCGUGCUGACGGAACUCUUCCCCGACACUUUGCUGGAUCGGAGUCCGGGGAUCGUCAUCGAGCUGAACGUGUGCUCGAACUCGGAGGUGCCGUAGUUUCGGUACUUGAUCGGUUGGAUCGUGAAGAUGUACGACUACUUCCUCUACGUUGCGUCAACGCUUCCGCAGUCGGUCUGCGUGGGUACGUAGACAACACUCUCCCCUCUCGUUGCUAUGCAUCACAUGAUCUUGCGUGUGCGUAGGAAAUUUUUUGAAAUUACUACGAAACCCAACAGUGGUAUCAGAGCCAGGUUAUUUAUGUUGAUGUUAUAAACACAAGUGAGUUGUGGGCGAUAUAAGUCAUACUGCCUACCAGCAUGUCAUACUUUGGUUCGGCGGCAUUGUUGGACGAGACGACCCGGACCAACAUUACGCGUACGCUUACGCGAGACCGGUUCCCCCGACGUGCUUUGCACAUAGGUGGCUUGCGGGCGACUGUCUCUCCAACUUUAGUUGAACCGAGUAUGGCUACGCCCGGUCCUUGCGAAGGUUAAAACGGAGUCUAUUUGACAAACUAUCGUUGUGGUUUUGAUGCGUAGGUGAGAUUGGUUCUUGCUUAAGCCCGUAGCAGCCACGUAAAACUUGCAACAACAAAGUAGAGGACGUCUAACUUGUUUUUGCAGGGCAUGUUGUGAUGUGAUAUGGUCAAGGCAUGAUGCUGAAUUUUAUUGUAUGAGAUGAUCAUGUUUUGUAACCAAGUUAUCGGCAACUGGCAGGAGCCAUAUGGUUGUCGCUUUAUUUUAUGCAAUGCAAUCGUGAUGUAAUGCUUUACUUUAUUACUAAACGGUAGUGAUAGUCGUGGAAGCAUAAGAUUGGUGAGACGACAACGAUGCUACGAUGGAGAUCAAGGUGUCGCGCCGGUGACGAUGAUGAUCAUGACGAUGCUUCUGAGAUGGAGAUCACAAGCACAAGAUGAUGAUGGCCAUAUCAUAUCACUUAUAUUGAUUGCAUGUGAUGUUUAUCUUUUUAUGCAUCUUAUCUUGCUUUGAUUGACGGUAGCAUUAUAAGAUGAUCUCUCACUAAAUUAUCAAGAAGUGUUCUCCCUGAGUAUGCACCGUUGCCAAAGUUCGUCGUGCCCAGACACCACGUGAUGAUCGGGUGUGAUAAGCUCUACGUCCAUCUACAACGGGUGCAAACCAGUUUUGCACACGCAGAAUACUCAGGUUAAACUUGACGAGCCUAGCAUAUGAAGAUAUGGCCUCGGAACACGGAGACCGAAAGGUCGAGCGUGAAUCGUAUAGUAGAUAUGAUCAACAUAACAAUGUUCACCAUUGAAAACUACUCCAUCUCACGUGAUGAUCGGUUAUGGUUUAGUUGAUUUGGAUCACGUAAUCACUUAGAAGAUUAGAGGGAUGUCUAUCUAAGUGGGAGUUCUUAAGUAAUUUGAUUAAUUGAACUUAAACUUAUCAUGAACUUAGUACCUGAUAGUAUCUUGCUUGUUUAUGUUGAUUGUAGAUAGAUGGCUUGUGCUGUUGUUCCGUUGAAUUUUAAUGCGUUCCUUGAGAAAGCAAGGUUGAAAGAUGAUGGUAGCAAUUAUACGGACUGGGUCCGUAACUUGAGGAUUAUCCUCAUUGCUGCCCAGAAGAAUUACGUCCUGGAAGCACCGCUGGGUGCCAGGCCUGCUGCUGGAGCAACACCAGAUGUUAUGAACGUGUGGCAAAGCAAAACUAAUGACUACUCGAUAGUUCAGUGUGCCAUGCUUUACGGCUUAGAAUCGGGACUUCAACGAUGUUUUGAACGUCAUGGAGCAUAUGAGAUGUUCCAGGAGUUGAAGUUAAUAUUUCAAGCAAAUGCUCGGAUUGAGAGAUAUGAAGUCUCCAAUAAGUUCUAUAGCUGCAAGAUGGAGGAGAACAGUUUUGUCAGUGAGCAUAUACUCAAAAUGUCUGGGUAUAAUAAUCACUUGAUUCAAUUGGGAGUUAAUCUUCCGGAUGAUUGCGUCAUUGACAGAAUUCUCCAAUCACUACCACCAAGCUACAAGAGCUUCGUGAUGAACUAUAAUAUGCAAGGGAUGAACAAGACUAUUCCCGAGCUCUUCGCGAUGCUGAAAGCUGCAGAGGUAGAAAUCAAGAAGGAGCAUCAAGUGUUGAUGGUUAACAAGACCACUAGUUUCAAGGAAAAGGGCAAAGGGAAGAAGAAGGGGAACUUCAAGAAGAACAGCAAGCAAGUUGCUACUCAGGAGAAGAAACCCAAGCCUGAAACUGAGUGCUUCUACUGCAAGCAGACUAGUCACUGGAAGCGGAACUGCCCCAAGUAUUUGGCGGAUAAGAAGGAUGGCAAGGUGAACAAAGGUAUAUGUGAUAUACAUGUUAUUGAUGUGUACCUUACUAGAGCUCGCAGUAGCACCUGGGUAUUUGAUACUGGUUCUGUUGCUAAUAUUUGCAACUCGAAACAGGGACUACGGAAUAAGCGGGCACUGGCAAAGGACGAGGUGACGAUGCACGUGGGAAACGGUUCCAAAGUCGAUGUGAUCACGGUCGGCACGCUACCUCUACAUCUACCUUUGGGAUUAAUAUUAGACCUAAAUAAUUGUUAUUUGGUGCCAGCGUUGAGCAUGAACAUUAUAUCUGGAUCUUGUUUGAUGCGAGACGGUUAUUCAUUUAAAUCAGAGAAUAAUGGUUGUUCUAUUUAUAUGAGUAAUAUCUUUUAUGGUCAUGCACCUUUGAAGAGUGGUCUAUUUUUGAUGAAUCUCGAUAGUAGUGAUACACAUAUUCAUAAUGUUGAAGCCAAAAGAUGCAGAGUUGAUAAUGAAAGUGCAACUUAUUUGUGGCACUGUCGUUUAGGUCAUAUCGGUGUAAAGCGCAUGAAGAAACUCCAUACUGAUGGACUUUUGGAACCACUUGAUUAUGAAUCACUUGUACUUGCGAACCGUGCCUCAUGGGCAAGAUGACUAAAACACCGUUCUCCGGUACUAUGGAGAGAGCAACAGAUUUGUUGGAAAUCAUACAUACCGAUGUAUGUGGUCCAAUGAAUAUUGAGGCUCGUGGCGGAUAUCGUUAUUUUCUCACCUUCACAGAUGACUUAAGCAGAUAUGGGUAUAUCUACUUAAUGAAACACAAGUCUGAAACAUUUGAAAAGUUCAAAGAAUUUCAGAGUGAAGUUGAAAAUCAUCGUAACAAGAAAAUAAAGUUUCUACGAUCUGAUCGUGGAGGAGAAUAUUUGAGUUACGAGUUUGGUGUACAUUUGAAAAAUUGUGGAAUAGUUUCGCAACUCACGCCACCCGGAACACCACAGCGUAAUGGUGUGUCCGAACGUCGUAAUCGUACUUUACUAGAUAUGGUGCGAUCUAUGAUGUCUCUUACUGAUUUACCGCUAUCGUUUUGGGGUUAUGCUUUAGAGACGGCCGCAUUCACGUUAAAUAGGGCACCAUCAAAAUCCAUUGAGACGACGCCUUUUGAACUGUGGUUUGGCAAGAAACCAAAGUUGUCGUUUCGUAAAGUUUGGGGCUGCGAUGCUUAUGUGAAAAAGCUUCAACCUGAUAAGCUCGAACCCAAAUCGGAGAAAUGUGUCUUCAUAGGAUACCCAAAGGAGACUGUUGGGUACACCUUCUAUCACAGAUCCGAAGGCAAGACAUUCGUUGCUAAGAAUGGAUCCUUUCUAGAGAAGGAGUUUCUCUCGAAAGAAGUGAGUGGGAGGAAAGUAGAACUUGACGAGGUAACUGUACCUGCUCCUUUAUUGGAAAGUAGUACAUCACAGAAAAUUGUUUCUGCGACACCUACACCAAUAAGUGAGGAAGCUAAUGAUGAUGAUCAUGAAACUUCAGAUCAAGAUACUACUGAACCUCGUAGAUUAACCAGAGUAAGACCCGCUCCAGAGUGGUACGAUAAUCCUGUUCUGGAAAUCAUGCUACUAGAUCAUGAUGAACCUACGAACUAUGAAGAAGCGAUGGUGAGCCCAGAUUCCGCAAAAUGGCUUGAAGCCACGAAAUCUGAGAUGGGAUCCAUGUAUGAGAACAAAGUAUGGACUUUGGUUGACUUGCCCGAUGAUCGGCAAGCAAUUGAGAAUAAAUGGAUCUUCAAGAAGAAGACUGACGCUGAUGGUAAUGUUACUGUCUACAAAGCUCGACUUGUCGCAAAAGGUUUUCGACAAGUUCAAGGGGUUGACUACGAUGAGACCUUCUCACCCAUAGCGAUGCUUAAGCCUGUCCGAAUCAUGUUAGCAAUUGCCGCAUUUUAUGAUUAUGAAAUUUGGCAGAUGGAUGUCAAAACUGCAUUCCUGAAUGGAUUUCUGGAAGAAGAGUUGUAUAUGAUGCAACCGAAAGGUUUUGUUGAUCCAAAGGGAGCUAACAAAGUGUGCAAGCUCCAGCGAUCCAUUUAUGGACUGGUGCAAGCCUCUCGGAGUUGGAAUAAACGUUUUGAUAGUGUGAUCAAAGCAUUUGGUUUUAUACAGACUUUUGGAGAAGCCUGUAUUUACAAGAAAGUGAGUGGGAGCUCUGUAGCAUUUCUGAUAUUAUAUGUGGAUGACAUAUUAUUAAUUGGAAAUGAUAUAGAAUUUCUGGAUAGCAUAAAGGGAUACUUGAAUAAGAGUUUUUCAAUGAAAGACCUCGGUGAAGCUGCUUACAUAUUAGGCAUUAAGAUCUAUAGAGAUAGAUCAAAACGCUUAAUUGGACUUUCACAAACAACAUACCUUGACAAAAUUUUGAAAAAGUUCAAAAUGGAUCAAGCAAAGAAAGGAUUCUUGCCUGUGUUACAAGGUGUGAAAUUGAGUAAGACUCAAUGCCCGACCACUGCAGAAGAUAGAGAGAAUAUGAAAGAUGUUCCCUAUGCAUCAGCGAUAGGAUCUAUCAUGUAUGCAAUGUUGUGUACCAGACCUAAUGUGUGCCUUGCUAUAAGUCUAGCAGGGAGGUACCAAAGUAAUCCAGGAGUGGAUCACUGGACAGCGGUCAAGAACAUCCUGAAAUACCUGAAAAGGACUAAGGAUAUGCUUCUCAUAUAUGGAGGUGACAAAGAGCUCGUCAUAAAUGGUUACGUUGAUGCAAGCUUUGACACUGAUCCGGAUGAUUCUAAAUCGCAAACCGGAUACAUGUUUACAUUAAACGGUGGAGCUCUCAGAUGGUGCAGUCCUAAACAAAGCGUCGUAGCGGGAUCUACAUGUGAAGCGGAGUACAUAGCUGCUUCAGAAGCGGCAAAUGAAGGAGUCUGGAUGAAGGAGUUCAUAUCCGAUCUAGGUGUCAUACCUAGUGCAUCGGGUCCAAUGAAAAUCUUUUGUGACAAUACUGGUGCAAUUGCCUUGGCAAAGGAAUCCAGAUUUCACAAGAGAACCAAGCACAUCAAGAGACUCUUCAAUUCCAUCCGGGAUCUAGUCCAGGUGGGAGACAUAGAGAUUUGCAAGAUACAUACGGAUCUGAAUGUUGCAGACCCGUUGACUAAGCCUCUUCCACGAGCAAAACAUGAUCAGCACCAAGGCUCCAUGGGUGUUAGAAUCAUUACUGUGUAAUCUAGAUUAUUGACUCUAGUGCAAGUGGGAGACUGAAGGAAAUAUGCCCUAGAGGCAAUAAUAAAGUUAUUAUUUAUUUCCUUAUAAUCAUGAUAAAUGUUUAUUAUUCAUGCUAGAAUUGUAUUAACCGGAAACAUAAUACAUGUGUGAAUACAUAGACAAACAGAGUGUCACUAGUAUGCCUCUACUUGACUAGCUCGUUAAUCAAAGAUGGUUAUGUUUCCUAACCAUGAACAAAGUGUUGUUAUUUGAUUAACGAGGUCACAUCAUUAGUUGAAUGAUUUGAUUGACAUGACCCAUUCCAUUAGCUUAGCACCCGAUCGUUUAGUAUGUUGCUAUUGCUUUUCUUCAUGACUUAUACAUGUUCCUAUGACUAUGAGAUUAUGCAACUCCCGUUUACCGGAGGAACACUUUGUGUGCUACCAAACGUCACAACGUAAAUGGGUGAUUAUAAAGGAGCUCUACAGGUGUCUCCAAAGGUAGAUGUUGGGUUGGCGUAUUUCAAGAUUAGGAUUUGUCACUCCGAUUGUCGGAGAGGUAUCUCUGGGCCCUCUCGGUAAUGCACAUCACUUAAGCCUUGCAAGCAUUGCAACUAAAUGAGUUAGUUGCGGGAUGAUGUAUUACGGAACGAGUAAAGAGACUUGCCGGUAACGAGAUUGAACUAGGUAUAGGAAUACCGACGAUCGAAUCUCGGGCAAGUAACAUACCGAUGACAAAGGGAACAACGUAUGUUGUUAUGCGGUCUGACCGAUAAAGAUCUUCGUAGAAUAUGUAGGAGCCAAUAUGGGCAUCCAGGUCCCGCUAUUGGUUAUUAACCGGAGACGUGUCUCGGUCAUGUCUACAUUGUUCUCGAACCCGUAGGGUCCGCACGCUUAAGGUUACGAUGAUAGUUAUAUUAUGAGUUUAUACAUUUUGAUGUAUCGAAGGUUGUUCGGAGUCCCGGAUGUGAUCACAGACAUGACGAGGAGUCUCGAAAUGGUCGAGACGUAAAGAUUGAUAUAUUGGAAGCCUAUGUUUGGAUAUCGGAAGUGUUCCGGGUGAAAUCGGGAUUUUACCGGAGUACCGGGAAAGUUACCGGAACCCCCCGGGAGUUAAAUGGGCCAUGAUGGGCCUUAGUGGAAAAGAGAAGACGCAGCCCUACAUGGGCUGCGCGCCUCCCCCCCUCCCCCUAGUCCUAUUAGGACUAGGAGAGGUGGCCGGCCCCCUCUCUCUCUUUUCCCCCUCCGCGAAUCCUAUUCCAACUAGGAUUGGGGGGGGGGGGGAAUCCUACUCCCAGAGGGAGUAGGACUCUCCUGGCGCGCCACACCUUGGCCGGCCAUCCUCCCCCCUCUAGUCCUUUAUAUACUGAGGUAGAGGCACCCUAGAACACACAAGUUGAUCCACGUGAUCUAUUCCUUAGCCGUGUGCAGUGCCCCCUGCCACCAUAUUCCUCAAUAAUACUGUAGCGGAGUUUAUGCGAAGCCCUGCUGCUGUAGUGCAUCAAGUUCGUCACCACGCCGUCGUGCUGACGGAACUCUUCCCCGACACUUUGUUGGAUCGGAGUCUGGGGAUCGUCAUUGAGCUGAACGUGUGCUCGAACUCGGAGGUGCCGUAGUUUCGGUACUUGAUCGGUUGGAUCAUGAAGACGUACGACUACUUCCUCUAUGUUGCGUCAACGCUUCCGCAGUCGGUCUGCGUGGGUACGUAGACAACACUCUCCCCUCUCGUUGCUAUGCAUCACAUGAUCUUGCGUGUGCGUAGGAAAUUUUUUGAAAUUACUAAGAAACCCAACAUUUGCCUCCCAACGUUUUACCUCAAGGGUAAUGUCAACAAUAAUAGUUCAUGAAAACUCACAUCCAAUUAGCCAUAUAUACCAGGAUCUUUCCAACAUACUGUGCUUGCCAAAGGAUAAAAUGUAAAAAGGAAGGGUGAAGAUCACCAUGACUCUUAUGCAAGGUACGAGGUAAAAGUAAAAGAUAGGCCAUUCGCAAAGGGAAGCAGAGGUUGUCAUGCAUUUUUAUGGUUGGAUGCACAAAAUCUUAAUGCGAAAGAACGUCACUUUAUAUUGCCACUUGUGAUAUGGACCUUUAUUAUGCAGUCUGUCGCUUUUAUUUCUUCCAUAUCACACGAUCGUAUAAAGCUUAUUUUCUCCCACACUAAUAAGUCAUACAUAUUUAGAGAGCAAUUUUUAUUGCUUGCACCGAUGACAACUUACUUGGAGGAUCUUACUCAAUCCAUAGGUAGGUAUGGUGGACUCUCAUGGCAAAACUGGUUUAAGGGUAUUUGGAAGCACAAGUAGUAUCUCUACUUGGUGCGAUGAAUUUGGCUAGCAUGAGGGGAAAGGCAAGCUCAACCAUGUUGGAUGAUCCAUGGCAAUAUAAUUUAUCUCAGAUGUAAGAAAACAUAACCCAUUACGUUGUCUUCCUUGUCCAACGUCAACUCUUUAGCAUGUCAUAUUUUAAUGAGUGCUCACAAUCAUAAAAGAUGUCCAAGAUAGUAUAUUUAUAUGUGAAGACCUCUCUUUCUUUAUUACUUCCUAUUAAUUGCAACGAUGACCAAAACUAUGUUUGUCAACUCUCAACAACUUUUAUUCAUCAUACUUUUUCUAUGUGAGCUCAUUACUCUCCAUAAGAUCCAUAUGAUCUCUUUGUUUCCUUUUUUAUUUAUUUCUCUUUUCUUUUAUUCACUUAGGAUCAUGGCAAAAUAAUCAAGCCCUUGACUCAACACUAAUCUUUAUUAUAUAUAGCUCACGGACUCGAUUACAUAGAGGGAUCAUAAAGCAAAACUCAAAACUAGAUCAUGCCAUAAACUUUAUUCUACUAGAUCAAGAUAUUACCAAAAGGAUCGAAAUAAGAAAAACGGUAAAGAUAAAAGUGAUGGUGAUACGAUACCGGGGCACUCCCCCAAGCUUGGCAGUUGCCAAGGGGAGUGCCCAUACGAGAUACUCAAUUCUUCUUUGUUGGUGGAGAGGGCGAUUGUUUUGUUGAUGGCAUAGGCUUGUCGUCCUUCUUCCAAGGCAUAGGCUCACCAACAUAGAAGGAUGAUCGAGUCUCCUGAAACCUCAAAUCUGCAGCCAAACUCAUCCUCUUGAAUCUAUAUUCAUACUCAUAGUUUUGAUUUUGCAGGUCAUAGAUCUGGGCUUGUAGGCGCUCGAUUUUCUCAUGAAGCUUGAAGAUGGCCUCCCCAAUGUCCUUGACGUCCAACUUGUGGUUGUUGGUGAACUCCAUGAUCAUAAUGUGAUUGGAAUCGAGUCUGUGCUCCACCAUCUCCUGACACUUGAAAACUUCUUGCUCCAAUGCCUCGAGCCUUGCCUCCGUGCUUCCGGUCUUCCUUGGUCCCUCAACAUCGCGGAUGUGCAACAACCCCUCACGCAUCUCAAUGGUUUGGGGGUGUUGCAGCACCUACGCGAGGUAGGGGUUGAUGACCUUCUCGAAGAACUGGUCCUUGGGGGCACUUGAAGAUGACAUGACAUCCUGGAUCUGUCAGAAAAACAGCUCGAAACACAAACAGAGGAUAAUUGUGUGAUACGAGAGUCAAAACCCCCGAGAGAUUAUAUAAUGAAUUUUUACCGCCGAAAAUACGUAUUAUGCAAGAAAACGGAGUCCGGAGAGCGCACGAGGUAGGAGGGCGCGCCCAGUAGGGUAGGGCACGCCCUCCACCCUCCUGGAGGCCUCGUGUCCUUCCCGGACUGCUUCUUAUUUUUCUAUUUUUCUAAAUAUUCCAAAACGGAGAAAUAUUGCCUUAAAAACUGUUUUGGAGUCGGUUUACUUACCGUACCACAUACCUAUUCCUUUUUGGAGUCUGAAACGUUCCCUAAGGUAUUCGGUCUUUGUGAUUUUAAACGGGCUGAAGCGCCCUUUGUAAUAAACCCCUGGUGUCCAGGUACGUGCAUUAUUCUGACGUGGCCACAUGCCAAGACGCCAUCCUCCUUCUCAGUUGCGCUGAGAAUCCGGGGGAUGUGUAUCAACAAGAGACAUUGAAAAAGGUUUACGCAGGGUCUUAAUCUGAAAAGAAUCCUUAGAACGGGUCCAUGAUGCACGUCUGUGCCUGUGUCUCCGUUGUGCCGUAUCCUGGACGGGUGUAGCACGAUGUUCAUCGGGAAAAGAGAGGAACUUAGUUGAAAAAGUAGUCGUGCAAAUUGUAUCUUAUACUAAGUAAACAAAGUAUGAUUCAAGGUGGGAAGAAUUGAGUUUUAUUGCUGCUUGUUUACAUGCGGGGAGCCCCUUGUAUAGGGGUGUAUAACCAUCAAACCUUUAACAAUUAAAUAGUUACGCCGGACUCGUCCAGCCGUAUCCAUGGUCUUGACGACCUAUUAGGCGCUCUGGUUGGUGAGGCAGUUUAGUGUGUGGCUGUUAAAGCAGCCGCACCGUCUUCCGCGCGCAAGGAGCGCUCAAUGUUUCCCUUUACUAAAAUGAUGCCUUAUGGAUCGGGCAUCUUAAGCGUAAGAGACGCAUAGUGCGGUAUUGCGUUGAAGCGGGCGAAAGCGUCGCGUCUCAGUAGUGCUUGAUAGCCACUUUUAAACGGAGCGAUGUAGAAGGUUAGCUUUUCGCUACGGAAGUUAUCGGGAGAGCCGAAUAUGACUUCUAGUAGGAGGGAGGCCGAACAACGAGCCCCUCGGCCUGGUGUUACUCCUUUAAAGGACAUAUUGCUAUGGCUAAUUUUUGUUGGGUCUACCCCCAUUUUGCGGACCGUGUCCUGAUAUAUCAGGUUCACACUGCUGCCGCCGUCCAUCAGGACUCGCGUAAAGUGGUAUCCGUCAAUCAUCGGGUCUAAUACCAAGGCAGCCCAGCCUGCGUGCCACAUACUUCCGGAGUAAUCCCGAUGGUCGAAGGUGAUUGGUUUGGACAACCAGUGGCGAAACUCCAUUGUGAUAGGCCGCAUGGCACGUAUCUCUGUGGGCGCCACUUUGUUUCUCCCUUUUGUCACGUGUAAUACGUUUACUGUUUUGACUUACUGUGAGAAUUUCUUCUGUUCCCUAGUGCUUUGCUUGUGAGGUUCAUCAUCGUCUUCACUUGGUGUAUCCAGCCCCUUGCGUUUGGCAUUGAGUUUGCCGGAUUGCUUGAAGACCCAACAUUCUCUGUGGGUAUAUUUGCAGGCUUACCAGGGGUGCUGUGGAUUUGACAUAUCUUGUCCAAGAUUUUGUUUAAGCUGGACAGUUCGUCCCUGUUAUCCUUGAGAGGCAGCUUUUGCUGACCCCGCCGAGAGCUUUUGAAUCCGGUGUUAACUGUCGUGCUCUUCGGGCUGGUUUUCCUUAUUUCGGCACUGGUCUUUGCUGCGUCGUGGCUUCUCGUUUCCAUCCCUGACUUCGGAUGUACUUGGGUCGCUGGUGCUGCAUCUUGCCAACCAGCUGUCCUCGCCCACGCAAAAGCGGGUCAUGAGGCUUGUUAAUACGGCCAUUGUUCUUGGCUUUUCCUGGUCGAGGUGUCUGGCGAGCCAUUCGUCUCGAACGCUGUGUUUAAAAGCUGCUAAGGCUUCGGCAUCCGGACAGUCGACUAUUUGGUUCUUUUUAGUAAGGAACUUGUUCCAGAGUUUUCGGGAUGACUCUCCGGGCUGUUGAGUUAUAUGACUUAAAUCAUCUGCAUCCGGUGGUCGGACAUAGGUCCCUUGAAAAUUUGCCUGAAAGGCAUCCUCGAGCUCUUCCCAACUUCCAAUAGUGUUUUCGUGGAGGCUUUUGAGCCAAUGCCUGGCUAGCCCUUUGAGCUUGAGGGGUAGGUAUUUGAUGGCAUGGAGAUCAUCUCCUCGAACCAUGUGGAUGUGGAGGAUGUAGUCCUCAAUCCAGACCCCAGGGUCUGUUGUUCCGUCGUAUGCCUCUAUGUUUACGGGUUUGAAUCCCGCUGGAAAUUCAUGGUCCAGCACCUCAUCAGUGAAACAUAGGGGGUGUGCGGCACCCCUGUAUUUGGGUGUGUCGUGGUGUUCGGAUAUUUGUUGUGUUGCAUUGCUUGCAAGAGUGUGCUUUCUUGGCCCGUAGAUAGAUCUGGUUGGGCCAUCUCUUUGAUGCGAGUCCUUGUGUGGAUCACGUGCUGGCUUGUGUGCGGCGCCAUGUGCUGCUCUAUGUUGGCCGUGAGGUCGUCUUUCCGACCGGAUGGCUGCUUUGUUUUUUGAUUGGGGGGCUCUAAGGCCUCCUCAUCAAAUUCAGGCAGUAGCUUUCGCUUCGGGUAGCUCUUUGUGUGGCGACUGCCACCAUAUUUGUCUGCGGUGUUGAGUACUUUGCUCCAUCUGAUUCUGAGUGCAUCUUCCGCAGUCUUUAGCUUCUGCUUCUACUUUUUCAGGCUACGCGCAGUGGCGACGAGCCUUUUAUGGAGGUUCUUCUGCUCCAGGAACUUGUCCGGCGUGAGGUCAUCCGGACUGUUAUCUUCGUUGAGGACGGGUUGUUCGGUUUGAUUAUCCAAAUUGCCUUGUUCGGACGGUUGCUCGAUGCCAUGUUCGUCGUCCGCCGGCUCGCCCUGCUCUGUGGCUGGGUUUGUAUGACCGUUGUUUCUGUCGAGGCGGGGUUUGGAGCGGCGCUUGCGCCGCCGCUUUGACUACUUUUCGAGGGAACGAUCCUUCGCUGCGUCCUCCCGUUCCUCGUCGUCAUUUCCUUUGGGUGUGUCCACCAUAUAUACAUCGUGAGAUGAGGUGGUUGUCCAGUGCCCUGUAGGCGCUGGUUCCUGUUCGUCUCCUACAUCGUCGUCCAUACCGUCGAUGUCUUCGGAGUCGAAGUCGAGCAUGUUGGUCAAAUCAUCGACAGUGGCUAUGAAGUGGGUGGUGGGUGGGCGUCGAAUUUCUUCGUCGUCCGCAUCCCAAUCCUGCCGCUCAUAAUCCGGCUAGGACUCUCUUGAUAAGGAGAGAGACCUUAGUGAGUUCAGUAUGUCGCCAAAGGGCGACUGCUGAAAGAUAUCCGCGGUGGUGAACUCCAUGAUCGGUGCCCAAUCGGAUUCAAUUGGCAGAGGUGCGGAUGGUUCAGAGUCCGGAGGAGAGUCCGACAAUGUGUAGUCACGGGCCUCGCGAAGGAUAAGGUUUGUGUUCGGCUCGAUCGCCGUCGAGGUUGCGGCCUUCAUGGCGCGGUUCAACCACCCGUCCCUGGAUGGCGCAGUUGGCUCCGAAUUGAAGGUCGGAGCGACUGCAAGUGCGAUCUCCUGAACAUUGUCCGGUGGCAGAGCUAAAUCAUGCCCAUCGUGACAGUGCGGCGCACUUGGCAAGGGCUUGAAUCCGUUGAAGAUUAAGUCUCCGCGGAUGUCAGCCGUGUAGUUUAAACUUCCAAACCUAACCUGAUGGCCAGGGGCGUAGCUUUCAAUCUGCUCCAGAUGGCCAAGCGAAUUGGCCCGCAGUGCAAAGCCGCCGAAUACGAAGAUCUGUCCGGGGAUAAAAGUUUCACCCUGGACCGCAUCGCUAACGAUGAUCGAAGGAGCCAUCAAGCCUGAUGAUGACGACACAGAGGAACUCUCAAUGAAAGCACCAAUGUCGGUGUCAAAACCGGCGGAUCUCGGGUAGGGGGGCCCGAACCUGGGUAAAAACAUCGUGUCCCUUGUAUCUUGUUACCAUCCGCCUAGACGCACAGUUUGGGACCCCCUACCCGAGAUCCACUGGUUUUGACACCGACACUUGGGUUCUCCAUUCAUCGAGUGGGCUAAUAUCAAAUAACCUCUUCUCGCCGGCAAGUUUAAAAUCAUAAUUGAGCUCUUUAAUAGCCCAAUAUGCCUUGUGUUCUAGUUCGAGAGGUAAGUGACAUGCUUUUCCAUAAACCAUUUUAUACGGAGACAUACCCAUAGGAUUUUUAUAUGCAGUUCUAUAGGCCCAUAAUGCAUCAUCAAGUUUCUUGGACCAAUUCUUUCUAGACCUAUUGACAGUCUUUUGCAAAAUUAAUUUGAGCUCUCUAUUACUCAAUUCUACUUGACCACUAGACUGAGGAUGAUAAGGGGAUGCAAUUCUAUGAUUAACAUCAUACUGAGCAAGCAUUUUACGGAAAGCACCAUGAAUAAAAUGUGAACCACCAUCAGUGAUUAAAUAUCUAGGGACUCCAAAUCUUGGAAAAUUUACUUCUUUAAGCAUUUUAAUAGAAGUGUUAUGAUCAGCACUACUUGCUGGAAUAGCUUCUACCCACUUAGUAACGUAAUCAACAGCAACUAAAAUAUGUGUAUAUCCAUUAGAGGCAGGAAAAGGUCCCAUAUAGUCAAAGCCCCAAAUAUCAAAUGGUUCAAUAACGAGUGAAAAGUUCAUAGGAAUUUCUUGACGUCUGCUAAUAUUACCAAUUCUUUGACAUUCAUCACAAGAUAAGACAAACUUACAGGCAUCCUUGAAGAGAGUAGGCCAAUAAAAACCAGAUUGCAAUAUCUUAUGUGCAGUUCUAUCUCCAGCAUGGUGUCCUCCAUAAGCUUCGGAGUGACACUUGCGUAGGAUCUGUUCCUGUUCAUGCUUAGGUACACAACGUCUAAUAACACCAUCUACUCCUUCUUUAUAAAGAUGUGGGUCAUCCCAAAAGUAAUGCCUCAAAUCAUAGAAGAACUUUUUCUUUUGCUGGUAUGUGAAACUAGGUGGUAUGAAUUUGGAAACAAUGUAAUUAGCAUAAUCAGCAUACCAUGGGGCAGUAUGAGAAGCAUUUAUAACAUUUAAUUGCUCAUCAGGAAAGCUAUCAUCAAUAGGUAGUGGGUCAUCAAGCACAUUUUCUAACCUAGAUAAGUUGUCGGCAACGGGGUUCUCAGCUCCCUUUCUAUCAACAAUAUGUAAGUCAAAUUCUUGUAGCAAGAGAACCCAUCUAAUAAGUCUAGGUUUAGCAUCUUUCUUUUCCAUAAGAUAUUUAAUAGCAGCAUGAUCAGUGUGAAUAGUUACUUUAGAAUCAACAAUAUAAGGUCUGAACUUAUCACAAGCAAAUACAACUGCUAAGAAUUCUUUUUCAGUAGUAGCAUAAUUCCUUUGAGCAUUGUCUAGGGUUUUACUAGCAUAUUGAAUAACAUUUAAUUUCUUAUCAACUCUUUGCCCUAGAACAGCACCUAUAGCAUAAUCACUAGCAUCACACAUAAUUUCAAAGGGUAAAUUCCAAUCAGGUGGUUGAACAAUAGGUGCAGAGAUCAAUGCUUUCUUAAGUAUUUCAAAUUCUUCUACACAAUCAUCAUCAAAAACAAAUGGUAUAUCUUUUUGUAAUAAAUUAGUCAGAGGCCGAGAAAUUUUUGAGAAGUCCUUAAUGAACCUCCUAUAAAAACUGGCAUGACCAAGGAAACUUCUUAUACCUUUGAUGUCCUUGGGACAUGGCAUUUUUUCAAUAGCAUCAACCUUGGUUUAUCAACUUCAAUACCUCUUUCAAAAACUUUAUGCCCCAAGACAAUACCUUCAUUAACCAUAAAGUGGCACUUUUCCCAAUUCAAGACAAGAUUAGUUUCUUCUCUAAGUGCAUCUAGUGCCCCUUAGUGAUUUUGGUGUAUUGAAGACGUAUAGGUUAAGGGACUAAUGCGUUUGUGAGUGUACACAGGUCUAUAAGUCUAUGAGGAGUUUGAUAUUUACAGAGAAAGUCAACCGUUCUUCAACUGAAGACUUUGGAUUUGUAAAGACUUUCUGAAGACUUUGAAAGUGAAGAAAUUGGUGUGACCUUGAAGACUUGGUAUUCAUUCGAGGAACAUGAAGCGUGAAGACUUUUGUUUUCGUAGUUUCAUUUUCUCUUUAUUGAGUCAUAGGAAACACCGUACUAUUAAAGGGGUCGAGGAAAUACUAAGGAAAAAUUUCCAUGUGAUGCUCAACUCAAAUCCUACACCUAGCAAUCCCUCCGAGUGAAGCCAUUGGAAAUCUCAUACAGUUCAGUCAUAUUCUUCAGUGACAGAGACGAAGUUCUUCUGGUCUCUGACGAAUUUGUUCUGACUGAGGAGUUAGGAAUUCGCCAGUGAGGAUUGCCUACACAGUGAGGAACAUGAUAGCCCUGAGGAUUUCGCCACUCAAAAUUCCGACUGUUGCUAUGCUAUGCGCCAGCUGUCCCAAAAUAUCUAUCCACCUAACGGUCUUAUCUUUGAAGGGCAUUCAUGUCUUAUCAUGUUGGGCUGCUCCCUAGGCUAUAAAUAGCCACCCCCUACAACCACUAGCUGGUUGGCUGCUCCGAGAGAAACUGACACUUGUCAUUUGAGAGCAACCCAUCCUCCGAGGACUUUGAGCGAAAAUCAUUAAGUGAGGAAAACCCAAACCCAAACACCUACAAACCCCAAUUGAUUGAGCAUCACUGAAGAGAUUGAUCCUGCGUGGAUCCGAUGCUUGUUACCUUUAAAGACGGUGCUUCUUCCAGAUGGUUAGGCGUCAUGGUCUAGAACAUCCAAGAGGAAUUGUGGAUCGCCGAGUGACCAAGUUUGUGAAGGUUCGGAAGUCACCUGAAGACUUACCAUGAGUGAUUGGGCGAGGUCUAUGUGACCUUAGCUCAAGGGGAAUACGGUGAGGACUGAGUGUCCUGAGCUGCGUGUUCAGGACUGGGUGUCCGGGACUGUGUGUCCUCGGGUUUAAAUACCUAGCCGCCCUAACCAGACGUACAACUGAGACAGCAGUUGGAACUGGUCUACCAAAUCAUUGUCUUCACCAAGCUUACUGGUUCUAUUUACUCAACUCUUUCAUUUCCUCAUAACUGUGUUGUUUGCUUGUUCAUAUUUGUGCUUGAAGACUUUGACUGAAGAUUUUCUCAAUUUCCUCAGUUCAAUUUCUUCAGUCUGUUUUUCUUCAUCCUGUGUUAUCAUGUGCUUACGCUUUCUGUACUCUGUGCCUGUCUUCAUUUCAUCAUGAUGACUAUGCUUGUGUUAUGCUAUGUUUACUUUUGAGUACUUAUUCCGCUGCUAGUAGUUCUUCGCUAAGGAAUUUCCUCACCUGCAAAUUCCUUAGUGAAAAAUUCAUAAAAAUCGCCUAUUCACCCCCCUCUAGUCGAUAUAACGCACUUUCAAUUGGUAUUAGAGCAAGGUACUCCCUUGUUCUGCGUGAUUUUGGUUUAACCGCCUGGAGUUUAGUUAUGUCGACCGCAGGUAUGAAGAAAGUGACAUGCCCCAUCUUUGACGGUCACGAGUAUCCCAAGUGGAAGGCCAUGAUGAAGAAACGCCUCAUGGCGAUGAACAGCGAGCUGUGGACCGUCACUGAGAUUGGUCUGACCGAUCUGUGCAAGAUGGCGGAAGCAGAUGACAUUCGCAAGUACACUCUUCUCAACCUCACGGCGAAGGACGUCAUCUGCUCCUGUCUGUCUCAAAAUUAGUUCAGGAAUAUCAUGCAUCUCGAUCAUGCAAAGCUUAUCUGGGACCGUCUCUCUGAGGUCUAUGAAGGUCAUCGUACCUGUCAUGAUCCUUGGUUUGAGGACUUCAAGGAAUCUCUCAAAGCGAUGACAUUCAAACCAGAAUCAUCGUCUUCUGCAUCAUGCCUUAUGGCAAAAUAUGCUAAGGUAACUGAAUGCUACCUAUACGAGUCUAGUGAUGAUGAAUCUGGUGAUGAAUUUGGACCCAGCUAUGUCAAACUUGCUUCCCUUGCCACUAAACAACAAAGAGCUUUGGAAAAAGUUCAAUACAUGCUAAAUAAGAGCGAUGAUAUGUUGGGUGAAGAAAUGGAUCAGUCAAAAGCUUUGGCUGAAAGUCUUCAGAGACUUCAUACUAAGUAUGACACCCUUCAAGAUCAUCAUAACACUCUCUUAUCUAAUCAUGAGAAGCUUUCUUGUGAAUUUCUUCAAAGAAAGCAAGACCUUGAAAAGCUAAGCAUGAGUUAUGAAGAUCUUCAGAAGGAGCGUGAUUUAUUACUUGCUCAACAAAUCAGCGCUUCUCAGGAAGAAUUUGUUCCUCCUUGUUUGAAAUGCAUUGAACGUGAAUCUGCUAAUUCUUCACCUGAAUGUUCAAAUGCUUCUAAUGCUACAAAUUCUUCACCUGCCUCUGCUAUCACUAAUUCCUCAUCUGAGGACACUGCUAGUAUCACUGAUGAUGCAGGGCUGAAGGAAUUGUACAUGACAGGCAUGUACAAAAGCCUCAAAGGGCAUCAAACUAUUUGUGAUGUGCUUAAAAAGCAAAUCCUCAACAGGAACCCUAGGAAAGAGGGUAUUGCCUUUGAGAGGAAACUCAAUGCUGAUGGUACAUAUUGGAAGCCUGAGCAGUACCCCAAAACUACAUGGGUUGCUGCAAAGGGACCUCCAGUUGAUCCAUCUAACUUAUCUGGAUUUGCAUGUGACUCUCCUCGUUUUGAUGAUGAGUCAUUUGACUCCAACUAUAAACUGUUCAAAAAUCAGAAUGGUGAAGUAUUUGCUAGAUAUGUUGGCACUAACUGCAGGAAUGGUUCCCCUAUGAAAAAAAUCUGGGUUCCCAAAAGGUGCCAUGAAAGUCUUCAGGUGAAUGUCCUCAGGACACCACCUGUGAAGAAUAGGAACCCCAGAGCAAAUUCUUCAUAUAGACCAAAUUCUUCAUAUGGAUCCAAGUCCUCAUAUGAAUAUCAUUGUGCUAACAACUCUGUUUCGCAGGGAAGAGCUAAGGGCUAUGAAUAUGAGCAUUAUUCUUCUAAUCAUCAUGUUCAUAAGUCCUCGAAGAAUUUCUCUGCUUAUUCAUAUGCUUAUCCUAACUCCUCUUAUGUGAAACGAAAUGGACUGGCUUCUAUGCCACCUUUCUCGUAUGGAGCUCGCAGAGUGAUGAACUCUUUGCCACCCCUUGAAAUGUGGGUGGUGAAGAAAAAGAACUAAUCUCUUCUGCAGGAUCAGGUCUCCAGAUGUACGUAAUCGUCUGAAGAAUCUGCUAGAGACCUGAGUAUGCCUGAAAGGACGCAGGCUAAUCAGGAAGAAAUGAACUUUCAUUUCUCACGUCCUCAUACUGCUUUAUCUGUUCUUUUCCUUGACGAAAUUGAUCUGAUGAAUUGAUGUCAUAUUCUUCACUGAUGAAGUAUAUGAGUUCGUAAGUUGCACUAAUUCAUCUGCAGGAUGAUCAACCCAAAGCCACUGAGUGUGUCCUCGAUAGUGGAUGUACAAAUCACAUGACUGGUGACAAGAAUCUAUUGAUGGAUGCUCCAUUAUCUCCGUCGCAUUUGAAGCAUAUCAUCUUUGCCGACAAAGGCAAAAGUCAGGUAUUGGGUCUAGGUAAGGUUGCGAUCACAAAGGAUCGACACAUGGACAAAUUCAUGCUUGUCGAGUCCUUAGGAUACAACCUCAUGUCUGUCUCAAUGCUUUGCGAUCUUGAUAUGGUUGUUGUCUCUGGCAAGUACCGUUGUGUUGUGGUUAUGGAAGCUGACAAUUCCAAAGUCUUUGAAGGCUUUAGGAGAGGAGACCUGUAUGUUGUUGAUUUCUCUACAGGACCACAACUAGCCGUGUGCCUACUUGCAAAAGCUUCAGAAGGCUAGCUAUGGCAUCGACGACUUGGUCAUGCAGGCAUGAGGAAUCUGCACACGCUUGCGAAGAAGAAGCAUGUCAUCGGCAUCAAGAAUGUCAAAUUCCUCAAGGAUCACCUAUGUGGAGCCUGUGAAGCUGGGAAGAUGACAAAGGCUAAAACGGCGUCGUGGAGCGCAAGAAUAGGACUCUUGCUGAGAUGGCUCGCACUAUGCUUGAUGAAUACAAAAUGCCUCGUUGUUUCUGGAUUGAGGCAAUUGAUAUUGCGUGCCACAUCAUCAACAGAGUAUAUCUUCACAAAUUCUUCAAGAAGACUGCCUAUGAACUCCUCACUGACAAGAAACUCAAUGUAAGUUAUUUCAAAGUCUUCGGUGCUAAAUGUUGGAUUAGAGAUCCUCAUCGCAACUCAAAAUUUGCACUGAAAGCACAUGAAGGUUUUAGGCUUGGUUACGGAAAGGAUUCGCACACCUACAGAGUCUUCAACAACGUUCUUCACAAGGUUGUUGAAACUGUAGAUGUGCGGUUCGAUGAAACUAAUGGCUCGCAAAGAGAGCACCUACCUACUGUGAUAGAUGAACCAGCACCGGAGGAAACUAUCAAGUUCAAGGCUACUAAGGAUGUUAUUCCUACUGAAGAAUCUGCUGAAGAAUUCAUUCCAGAACAUGAAGAACGUCGAGCUAAUGCACCUGAAGAAAAUACUGAAGAAAAUGGUGCUGAAGAGAAUGAUGAUCAAAUUCCUCAAUGACAGCCAGCUCAUCCUCGCAUUGCAAAAGAAGUGCAAGUUGAAAAGAUCAUCAAUGACAUCAAAGGGCCAGGUCCUCUCACAUGCUCAAAAGCUUCACAUUUAUCUAACUUUUGUGGGCACUAUGCUUUGUCUCUAUCACAAAGCCCACUAAGGUAGAUGAAGCAUUUCUGGAGCCUGAGUGGAUUCAGGCCAUGCAAGAAGAAUUACAUCAGUUCGAGCUCAACAAUGUCUGGGAACUGGUCAAACGUCCAGAUCCUCGCAAGCAAAAUAUCAUUGGCACAAAGUGGAUCUAUCGCAACAAGCAAGAUGAAAAUGGCCUUGUGGUGAGGAAUAAGGCACGGCUCGUAGCUCAAGGCUACACACAGGUUUUGAAGAUCCAAAGAAUCCUGACAAAGUCUUCAGACUCAACAAGGCCCUCUAUGGCCUCAAGCAGGCCCCACGGGCGUGGUAUGAUACCUUGAAGGAAUUCUUCAUGAAGAAAGGCUUCAAACCCGGUUCACUCGAGCCUACUCUUUUCACUAAAUCUUAUGAUGGUGAAUUGUUUGUGUGCCAAGUAUAUGUUGAUGAUAUUAUCUUUGGUUGUACUGACCAACGUUAUAGUGAUGAAUUUGCCUACAUGAUGAGUGAAGAAUAUCAAAUGUCUAUGAUGGGAGAAUUAAAAUUCUUCUUAGAUCUUCAAAUUCGUCAACAACGCAAUGGCAUAUUCAUAUCUCAGGAGAAAUACCUCAAGGAUGUACUGAGGAAAUUCGGCAUGCAAGAUUGCAAAGGCGUCAAAAUUCCUAUGCCCACAAAUGGCCAUCUGUGCACUGAUGAAAAUGGUAUUGACUUCGAUCAUAAGGUAUACCGCUCCAUGAUUGGUUCUUUAUUGUACUUAUGUGCAUCUAGGCCAGAUAUAAUGCUUAGUGUUUGCAUGUGUGCCCGAUUUCCAGCUACACCAAAGGAAUCACACCAUAAGGUUGUGAAGCACAUUCUUUGAUAUCUAGCUCACACACCAACACUUGGAUUAUGGUACCCCAAGGGCUCGGCUUUUGAUCUCAUUGGAUAUUCUGACUCUGACUAUGCUGGUGAUCAUGUGGACCGCAAGUCAACAUCUGGUACAUGCCAUUUCCUCGGACGAUCUUUUGUCUGUUGGUCCUCGAAGAAACAGAACUGAGUAUCACUAUCUACUGUUGAAGAUGAGUACAUUGCCGCUGGUUCUUGCUGUGCUCAAUUGCUAUGGAUGAAGCAAACUCUCAAGGACUACGGCGUCAACAUGAAGAAUGUGCCUCUCUUCUGUGACAAUGAGAGUGCCAUCAAGAUUGCUCACAACCCAGUUCAGCACUUGAAGACUAAGCACAUUCAGAUUCCUCAUCAUUUUCUUCGUGAUCAUGUGUUGAAGGGCGACAUUUCUAUUGAGCAUGUGAAGACUGAAGAACAACUGGCCGAUAUCUUCACAAAGCCCUUGGAUGAGAAGAGAUUUAGCAAGUUGCGGUGUGAGCUAAAUAUCCUAGAAUCUUCGAAUGUUCUUUGAAAAGGACACUCAUCCUAACACUUAUGCAAAAUUGAUGACUUAGAUGUGCAACACAUGAAGAAACGUUUUCCUUCAAUCAAUGAAGAAUAACACUCUAAGUGUGAAGAAAUUAACGAAGAAUUUGAUUCUCAGAACCCUACGAUAAUUGUACGCGGUGUCUGAAAUCAUCAUUCUUAUACGGUGGGUCACGCCACCACCAAAAGUUGAAAUUCCUCAGUUGUUCAAAUUCUUCAACUUUUCAUUGUCUUCACUGUUUCCAUUGUUUUUCUUCAUUGACUAUAUAUAUAUAUAUAUAUAUAUAUGAGUUUAUGCCCUCUACAACAUUCACUUAUGGCUACUUCUUCAAGUUGGUUUUUCUACUAAGUGAAUGUGAUCGGACCCUUCCCCUCUAUGCUAUACUCAACCCAAUCUAUUCACAAAUUCUUCAUGUGUGUUCUAUUUGAAACUCGUUCAAAAUCUUCACUGUGUCCUUGUCAGCGGAAGAAAUUGCGAACGGAACUUUUAACUUAUCUUAUCCAAAAAAAUUGGCAUUGCCGCUCAAACCGUUUCGCAUCCCACGACAUACUUAUCCACUCACCCACGAUCUCCACUUCUCAGUAUGUGGGUGACACAUGUCAUGCGAAUGAUAAGGGUCAGGGGCACGUUCGUCCAAAUUCUUCGGGCGAACGGUUUUCACCAUGGCUAUAAAUACCCCUCUCCCCUUCCUCACUUAUUUUACUCCGCUCGACCUCUCUCCAGCUCGAGCUUCUCAAACCCUAGUGCCGCCGCUACUUCAUCAUCGCCGGUGAGGAAGAGCUUCACUGCCUCGACCUCAUCGCCAUCGUACUCGCGCCGGCCGUGGAAAUCUUCACUCCGCCGCCGCCGUAGCUGUCUUCCUCCACUAAGUUAGGGCGUGGAAGAUCUGCACUGACGAACUUCACAUCUCCUCACUCCAGUUUGUCGUGUUCUUCAUUCAGGGUAAUUAAAAGUUACUUUUACUGCCCUCGUUGAUUCGAAUGAUUAUCUACAAAAUCUCCAAAGGUGUUUUUCUUCAUAUCUUCACACACUAAAACACCUCUCAUAUCAUUUGUUCUUGAUUCAUUUCUCUAAGCUGCGAAUUUCUCGUCAAGAUUCCUCAAUUGUGCGGAUUUCUGAUCUAUACAACUCUGGAACCUAGGACUAAGAACGCUUAGUGAAAUUCUUCAAGACUUAUCGGGUCAAAUUCCUCAAACUUGUUCUUUAUAAAACCUUCUGAGAACGCAUAUGACAUCUCCAAAUUCCUUGCAACUAUACUCUGUUCACAGGUACUCAUGUCAGCUGCUGAAUCAUUAGGUUCUCAUCAACUUAACUCAUUUGCAGCGUUCCUCGAAGAAAAGUUGCAUACUUCUUCAGAGAAUUCAAUUGUUCAAAUUCCUCAACUGAAGAAAAUGGCUGACGGUAAGAAGCCACAGAAAGGAGGAAAGACGGCUGAGGUCAACACAGCGUUUGAGAUCCCUGAUGAUAUAUAUGUUGGGUACUGCACACCUCCUGAGGAAGACAAAAAUCAGCGCAAGGUGCGCAUUCAGAAGAUAGACAGGAGAUGGGCUAGAGAGUGGAGAGAGUACAGAUAUGUCACUCCCAAAUACAUGAAUAAAAUUCGCACUCAAUCCUCCAUGCCCAAGACCUCCAUUGGCACCUGGCCAAAUAGCUGAUCCCACUAGCCUCAAGCGUGGUGAGGAUUAUCCUGAUGAAUGGGCCAAGCGCCAAGCCAAGUUGGCUAAACAAGCCAAAGAAGCUGUGAGGAAAUUCAACGAAGACUCUGUUGCUGUUGCUGAGGCCUCUGUCAAACCUAAGAAGGCCAUGUCAAAGAAGCCUGCGCACAAGCCAAGUGCUUCACCUUCAGUGGUUUCAAGGCCAAGUUCCUCAGCAAUGCCCUCACGGCCAGAAUCUUCAAAGCCCUCAAGGCCAACUUCUCAUGUUGCUCCUGCUCCUCACAAGUCCUCAGCUGCUCCGACAAAGUCCUCUGCACCUGUGCAUCUCGCCACGUGUCAAAGGACCACAGGCGUCUCAAUUGCCUCAGGAGCUUCAGCUAGUUCCUCAGCUGCACCAAAUUCUUCAACGGGACCCUCUCUACUGAAGACAAAGUCCACUGCUGGACGAGGUCCUCGCCCUAGUCCUCAGAAGAAGCAGGUCGCCUUCCAAGUGUCUUCUGAAGAGGACGAAGCUGAUGAUGAUGAACUUGCUGAAAUCAUCACAGAUAGGCAAGUCAGGGCCGGUAGAGCCAAGGGAACAGAUGUGCCACUACUUUUGGAUCCAAAGUUGAUCCUCGAAUACAUUGAUGUUUGGCACAAGGACCCCAACACUCCCAUGCCUGACUUCAAGUUGACUCCUGGCCAAAGUCACAUGCUGACCCACUUCAUACAAGAAGAAAAAUGGAAAUAUGAGAAGGCCAGGCAGAUCAAGAAAGCGCAGUACAAGAAGGAGCGCUAUCUGAAGAAAAACGUUGUCUCUAUGACAACUGAAGAACUUGUCGCUGUUCAAACUGAGAUCAAUAAACUCAGUGAUGAAUUUGACGCAUACCGCGCUGACUGGCUUGGAGCCAAGGUGCGCUUUGUGAAACUUGCGGAUAACUUCACCUCAAAUGUUGCAGCCCCAACGCAACAGGAAGUUCCUCAGGCUGAAGCAUCUGCUCAGCCGACUGAAGAACAUGCCAGCACCGCUGAUGAAAAUCAGGCUGCUGAAGAAAAUGUGAGUUCCAGGGCUGAUGACUGCAUACCAGCCGCUGAAGAAAUUUCCAGGGCACCCACUAGUGGUGCGCCUGAAGAAUAUGAAGAAAUCAGGGCAACUUCAUCAGUUGUGCCUGAAGAAAAUCAACCAGAUUCCUCUGCUCCUCCUGCGCCAACACCAACUCUGAUCCUUCCAUCUGCAUCAGAUGUGAAGAAAACCAAGGCUGCAGAGCGUGCAGCAAUGAAGAAAGGAAAGCAUCAGCUACUUCAGAUUCUUCAGCUCCGAAGAAGAUGAAGCCUUUGACCAGCUUGUUUGAAAAUCCCAUUGAUGGUGUUCCUCUCUCUACCAUGCCAUCAAAGGACCUUGUUCCUUUCGAUGAAGAAUAUGUGAUCCCCAGCGGAUCUGAUGAAGAAACUCCUUCUGUUGUUUCAUUAGAGCAGUUGGAUAAAGAAAUUGAAGUGGGUGAGAUCCCUUCAACACCUAUCAUUUCCUCGCCUCUACCUCAGUGCACUGCCGAAGAGGCUGGCGCUGAAGAAAUGGAAGAUGAAGAUGUGGACGUUGGCUGCUCCACACCAGUGAUGAGUGAUGAAUUCUGGGAAAGUCAGCAUCCAAACUCUCCAAUGUUCACACCAUUGCAGCAAAUACCUCGGUCCCCUGCACAAACUGUUCAAAUGGGCUCUGAAGAAACACACCCCACUUCAUCUAUACGUGAAGAAAUUCUAGCCACUAGUGCUGAAGAAACUGUUGUUGCUGAACAUCUGAAGACGCAGACUGCCAUUGAAGAGGAACCAAAAAUUCCUCAACCUGAAGAACUUGUGUUUGAGAUUCCUGAGGUUGUGAUGCAACUCACUGACACUCCUCUACCCAAGCCAAAUGAUCCAUUCUCUAGGAAGCAAAAAUUCAAGGCUGAUGAUUUCUUCGGCGAGCACGUAUUCUUCACAGACUACAACCCUUAUGACUCUCUCGCAUUAGGAAGAGGCGUUUCUGGACAGCCAGCCAAGCCAAUUUCUAUUCCUCGGUGCUGUUCAAUAAAAACAAAAUCUUCUACCAUGAGCACAUUCCUCAUGUGGAUAUGGAAUCUCUACCGUGCUUCAUGCUAGUCCUCAGUGUUCUUCACGACGCUGGACUGUUAAAUUUCUGCUCUGACAUCUGUGAUUGGAAUGAAGAACUGAUUCUUCAAUUUUAUUCGACGCUGCACAUCACAGGAGAUUCUGAAGAUGUCAAUUCAUGGGUGUUGGACUGGAUGUCUAAGAACACUCACUACACAGCACCAGCUACUGAAUUGCUUCAUGCCUUACCACUCAGUCCUCCCCUUGAAGAAGCUCGUUGCAAUUAUAGUGAACCUGAGCUUACAAAUCACUACAUGCAAGUUCUGGUGAAAUCUUUGAAGCCAGGUCAGGCCCCACGAACCAAAUUACUCGUGAAGGAAUUACUAUAUGUGCCCAGAACUGUCUAUCGCAUUCUAACGAGGACAAUGAGUCUCAUCAAAGGCCAUGACUCAUCUGAUGAGGAAAUUGUUGGCAUCAUGAAGAAUCUGGUAUUCAAUAUCGUUCAUGGCAUUCCUGUCAAUUAUCACGAUUUCUUCAUGAGGACUCUGGCAAAUGUUGCACUUUCUCCGUUUGAGCUGAAGCCUUAUGCACCUUGGAUUAUGAGAUUCCUCAGGACAAGGUCUUCACUCAACUACAAAGCUGAUUUUCAGAAUCACCUCAGCUACUUGCCCCCGAUUGAAGUCCUCAAGCAGACCUAUUCCUCAGUUGAUGAAAAGGGCAAGGCACCAGCUGUUAUAGAUGAAGGCAUUCGUCCAUUGGAUGGACAGUUUCGCAAAGCUGCAUCUUAUUCCACCAAUGAUGACUCUGCCACACAUGACUCUGCCAAUGCACCCAAGUCUACUCCUCAAGCCACUGCUCCUCGUGUGAUGACUGAUCGUGAGCUUUUGCUUAGUCUUCACCAGAAGGUGGAUCGAAAUCAUAAAUGGUUAAGCGUCAGUUUGGUUCAUUUCAUCACAACAUGACUUCUACGCACAAUGCAGUGAAGAAAAACCAUUGCUACCUCCAUGAAGUUUUCGGUCGCACCUGGGCCAUUCUAUCACAUCUGUAUGGUGAAGAAGAUCUCAAGAAAAUGGGUCUCAAGGAAGAUUUUGACUGGUCUGCACCUCCACCGAAGAAAUUCAAGAAGGUCAAGGCUCCUUCUUUGGUGUCCAGCUCAUAUUCUUCAUCACGUGAUACCGACGAGUACGAAGACUUGGACGACACUGCGGCAGGCCCUUCCACGACAAAUGACCCCAACAACGAUGGCGCUCCUUCAUCAACUUGAUAUUCUUCAAGGGCGUUAGUCCUCAUAUUUGAUCUUUUUGGUCAUCUGAUGACAAAGGGGGAGAAUUUUGAGUUAGUCUUCAAGCAGGUCUUUCUAUAUGGGCAUUUUUUUGUUAAGUUACAACUCUCGUUCUUCUGAGACUUUUUUGGAUCGAGUUGUAAACUCAAACACGAUGGUGCUCUGAUACUUUUGAUAUGUUUUUCUGCAUGCUUAUUCCUCAUAUAUGUUAAUGCAUGCAUGCUGAAUGACAUCAGUCACCAUAUUUCAUCAUGCAUUUCAAAUUCUUCAUUGUGAUAUGUCAAAUGCGUGUAUGAAUUACAAGAUAUAGGGGGAGAUCUCCAUGAUUCUACUCUUCAAGUGUGUAAUGCUUCAAAAGCAAAUACCUCACCAUGCACAUAUUCACGGGGAGUUCUUCUAUAUCUUGCAAUCAAAUUCCUCAAUAUCAGUAUUUACACUUCAUAUGUUUAUCCUCGUUGAAAACUUAACCUAUAUUGUCAUCAAUCACCAAAAAGGGGGAGAUUGUAAGUGCAUCUAGUGCCCCUUAGUGAUUUUGGUUUAUUGAAGACUUAUAGGUUAAGGGACUAAUGGGUUUGUGAGUGUACACAGGUCUAUAAGUCUAUGAGGAGUUUGAUAUUUACAGAGAAAGUCGACCCCUAAAAAUGAAGUUCUUCGACUGAAGACUUUGGAUUUCUGAAGACUUUCUGAAGACUUUGAAAGUGAACAAAUUGGUGUGACCUUGAAGACUUGGUAUUCAUUCGAGGAACAUGAAGCGUGAAGACUUUUGUUUUCGUAGUUUCAUUUUCUCUUUCUUGAGUCAUAGGAAACACCUACUGUUAAAGGGGGUCGAGGAAAUACUAAGGAAAAAUUUCCAUGUGAUGCUCAACUCAAAUCCUACACCUACCAAUCCCUUCGAGUGAAGCCAUUGGAAAUCUCAUAUAGUUCAGUCAUAUUCUUCAGUGACAGAGACGAAGUUCUUCUGGUCUCUGAUGAAUUUGUUCUGACUGAGGAGUUAGGAAUUCACCAGUGAGGAUUGCCUACACAGUGAGGAACAUGAUAGGCCUGAGGAUUUCGCCACUCAAAAUUUCGACCGUUGUUGUGCUAUGCGCCAGCUGUCCCAAAAUAUCUAUCCACCUAACGGUCUUAUCAUUGAAGGGCAUUCAUGUCUUAUCAUGUCGGGCUGCUCCCUAGGCUAUAAAUAGCCGCCCCCUACAACCACUAGUUGGUUGGCUACUCUGAGAGAAACUGACACUUGUCAUUUGAGAGCAACCAAUCCUCCGAGGACUUUGAGCGAAAACCAUCAAGUGAGGAAAACCCAAACCCAAACACCUACAAACCCCAAGUGAUUGAGCAUCAUUGAAGAGAUUGAUCCUGCGUGGAUCUGACACUUGUUACCUUUGAAUACGGUGCUUCUUCCAGACGGUUAGGCGUCAUGGUCUAGAGCAUCCAAGAGGAAUUGUGGAUCGCCGAGUGACCAAGUUUGUGAAGGUUCAGAAGUCACCUGAAGACUUACCACGAGUGAUUGGGUGAGGUAUGUGUGACCUUAGCUCAAGGGGAAUACGGUGAGGACUGAAUGUCCUGAGCUGCGUGUUCAGGACUGGGUGUCCGGGACUGUGUGUCCUCAGGUUUAAAUACCUAGCCGCCCUAACCAGACGUACAACUGAGACAGCAGUUGGAACUGGUCUACCAAAUCAUUGUCUUCACCAAGCUUACUGGUUCUAUUUCCUCAACUCUUUCAUUUCCUCAUAACUGUGUUGUUUGCUUGUUCAUAUCUGUGCUUGAAGACUUUGACUGAAGAUUUUCUCAAUUUCCUCAGUUCAAUUUCUUUAGUCUGUUUGUCUUCAUCCUGUGUUAUCCUGUGCUUACGCUUUCUGUACUCUGUGCCUGUUUUCAUUUCAUCAUGAUGAAUAUGCUUGUGUUCUGUUAUGUUUACUUUUGAGUACUUAUUCCGCUGCUAGUAGUUCUUCGCAAAGGAAUUUCCUCACCUGCAAAUUCCUUAGUGAAGAAUUCAUAAAAAUCGCCUAUUCACCCCCCCCCCUCUAGUCGAUAUAACGCACUUUCAUCUUCACAUCUCUGCAAAACUCGAUCAAGGUUGCUCAAGAAAUCAUCAAAAGAAGAUCCAUAGAUGGAGAAAUCGUCCAUGAAAACCUCACAAAUCUUUUCACAAAAGUCAGAGAAUAUAGCCAUCAUGCAUCUUUGAAAGGUAGCAGGUGCAUUACAUAAACCAAAAGGCAUACGUCUAUAGACAAAAGUACCAAAAGGGCAAGUAAAAGUAGUCUUUGAUUGAUCCUUGGCUGACACAGGUAUUUGAGAGAAACCAGAAUAACCAUCUAGAAAGCAAAAAUGUGUAUGUUUGGAUAAUAUUUCUAGCAUUUGAUCGAUAAAAGGUAAGGGGUAAUGAUCCUUUUUAGUGGCCUUAUUUAAUUUGCGGAAAUCAAUUACCAUCAUAUAACCUGUAAUAAUUCUUUGAGGAAUCAAUUCAUCUUUAUCAUUAGGAACGACAGUAAUAUCUCCCUUCUUAGGGACACAAUGGACAGGACUUACCCACUGACUAUCAGCAACGGGAUAGAUUAUACCUGCCUCAAGGAGCUUUAGUAUUUCCUUUCUUACCACUUCUUUCAUUUUAGGAUUUAGCCGUCGUUGAUGAUCACGAACUGGUUUAGCAUCUUCUUCCAAAUUUAUUUUAUGUUGACAUAGAGUGGGACUAAUGCCCUUAAGAUCAUCAAGAGUAUACCCAAUAGCAGCACGGUGCUUCUUUAGAGUUUUCAAUAAUCUCUCUUCCUCAUGCUCUGAAAGGUUAGCACUAAUAAUAACAGGAUAAUCUUUUUCUCAUCAAGAUAAGCAAAUUUAAGAGUAUCAGGCAACGGUUUAAGCUCAAACACGGGAUCACCCUUGGGUGGAGGAGGAUCCCCUAGGAUUUCAAUAGGCAAAUUGUGUUUCAAAAUAGGUUCCUGUUUAAAGAAUACUUCAUCUAUUUCCCUUCUUUCAUUCAUAAACAUAUCAUUUUCAUGGUCUAGGAAAUAUUGUUCUAAAGGAUCACUAGGAGGUACGGCAAUAGAAGCAAGACCAAUAAUUUCAUCCUUACUAGGUAAUUCUUCUUCACGGUGUUGUCUACUAAAUUUAGAGAAAUUAAAUUCAUAAGACAUAUCAUCUAAACCGAUAGUAACAACAUCCUUUUUGCAAUCUAUCCUAGCAUUAACAGUGUUUAAGAAUGGUCUACCAAAUAUAAUGGGACAAAAGCUAUCUUGUGGGGAACCAAGAACAAGAAAAUCAGCAGGAUAUUUAGUUUUCCCACACAAGACCCAAUGAUAACAGUCAUAAAAACAACAGUCUCCGCUCCCGCAUAACAUCCUCCGUUCUUCUUGGUUUUGAUGACGAAAUUAUCUGAGUUGGUUACUAGUUGAUUGCAUCCAAACUUUUGCGCAAGGGAUAAUCCAAAUCUUAGCGCCAAUGUCUAAGUCAUUAGGACAUCCGUGCACCAAUUAAUUCUCAAAUUUUCCCCAACAAUAAAAUUACGUUUCUGAUCUCUCUGAGCAGCACCAGUUCUACCCCUUAGCAAGUAUCGAUCGAAGGAAACACUAAUGUUGAGUUUUCCAAAAACCUUAGGGGCCUAACCCAACGGAAAUGACAUUCGGCUCCCGGGAGCACGUGCUCCUACCUAUGGAAAAUGAAUUUUGAAAUGUCAAAAAAAUCCCAACAAAAAAUGUAUGUGUUCUUUGGCACAUCCAAAUGCUACCUAAAAAUUCUUAGGCAAAAAGGUUAAGCAUUUUGGCAUGUGCAAAAAAAAUUGAACAUCAAUUGUUACCCCCAAAAUGUCACACCAGAAUGUUUUUUCACCGACAAAACAACGCUGCUCCAUUUCGCAUGAAAAUUAUCAAUCAUUCCUACCACACCAACAUGAGCAUCUACACAAAAAAUCAUUUCUUAAUAUUAUUUUUUAUUUUACUGUUCAUCAAGGUGCAAAUGCACUCGGGAGCCAAAACACCUCGCCCUCCUAAUCCAACCCCCUCUUUUCAUGGUAGCAGUUGCAGAGGAAGCAAUGCCAUAACUAGACAUAAGCGCCUGGAUCCCCAUGUUAAUAUGAUUCACAUCUUGAGACGUCUCCUCAUGGAUUAGUUUGUGCCUUUCCCACCAUAAGUACCAAGUGAUAAUGGCUAUCAUUUCAUGCACAUUCUGCAUACCCAAAAGAGAUAACUUCUGAUCAAGUAGAAGAAGUGGAAACUCAAGUACAACCUCUCCGGCUGGAUAAAUUCACAAGCCCUUCUAAUAAUUUCAUCCAACCCCAGCAUCCUCCAAACCUCUUUAGCUUUAUAACAUAGGAACAUCAAGUGCUUCGAACUUCUGCUCCAUCCAAACAAGAAGGUCAUUGAGGAAAAACUUUGAUAUGUCUAUUAGCAAGCAUAACAUGACAUGGGAGGCUGCCUGUGGAACCCCAGCUCAGAGCAACCGGUUUACCUUGCAUUGCCAUCCCAGAGAUCUAGUCUUCUGGCAACACACAACAACUUGGUACAGAAAAACAACAGCUUUAUUGACAUAAGCGAGAACAUAGGUUUGAUAUUACAACAAGUAGCGAGGCCAAGCGGCACACACGGUGCGGCUGGACAAUAUGUACAUUAUUUAAUGAACAUAAGAGGGGCCUUGGUCACGACGAAACGACUACGCGGCAGCGUAAGAACAACGAAGCGGAACUCCAUAGCACAAGGACAUCGAUGUGGACACGGCCUAGACGCGGGUAGCACUCUGAUCCGGUACAACUUUCCUAAAAGCUGGCAUGACAUGUCAGGUUAGUCAGUACAUUGAAUGUACUUGCAAGCUCACAACAAAUAAAGCAUAAUGACAAACAAUAACAUGACGAUUAAGCAAGUUAAAUGCAAGAACUACUCAUGAUGCUCAUUAAGUGAAUAUGCACGUGACUAGAGUCCCUCGGACUCGCUUAUCAUCACGAUUAACUCGUAACCUCAAACCACAUCAUCAUCACAGUGAUCACCUCCGGAUCACAACAGAAACCAUCACUAUGGUUCCAACAAUGUAUCCAUCAUAACCAGUGCCACAAGUUUACUUAGUGUGCAUGUUAGCUUAUUUAUGUUGAUCCACGGUGUGACCUACUAUGAACUGUGUCCAUGACCGAGGACACGGCUAUCGAUAGAUUAAACACACACUCUACAGAGGUUAGCACACUGUACCCACACCACGGUAUCCAUGGCCUCGCACUCCCAUUCGGGUGGACCAACGGCAUUUUGACAGAACCAAUCCAUUGCCAUGACACUCUCCCGGCCACUCCGACCAACUCCCCAUUGGGCUAAGUCAUGGGUGGCCCCGAUGCCACUCUGGACAUCCAACGACCACCGCCGUGGAAAAGCAUAAAUGGUCCCGAAUGGGAACAAGGUACCAUAACAACAACGGGCACACAAGGUUAAGUCUGCCUGCCAGGCAAGGGUAGCGCACGCGCAUAACCUUCCCUCGUUGGAGGCACCAACCAAAGGCAUGACAACGGACCGAAUAAGGGCCUUCCCACAAAGGCAAAUGUGGUUGCACUGAGAAGCUCAAUUCGGUGGCACCAUGACUUGAUCAACAUUAUGUUCAAGUCGGAUUAUUCAUCAUAUUAAACUUGAAAUAAAAUACUCGAACCAUAGUAUGCCAUGAAAAUGCAUCUAUAUGAACAUGCAUCAUCAUGAUACCGGAAAGUAAUUACUCAUGCUCAAUGAUCAUAUCAAUGGCCAAGCUAAACCACUUAACAUGCUAAUGGACAUGAAGUAAUCAUAGCAAGAACUUGAUUCUACCAUAUGCUAAUAAUAUUCACCAUAAAGAAAUAAUACCGAUAAAUAUUCUACUCAAGAUCAUGCUCAAAAUAACUCCUAUACUACAUACUAGAUCAUGCACUCAUAAGCUACUGAAAAACUAGACAGGCAUACCAAGAACUUGCAACUAGCAUUAUUGUGAUUAACCAAAUAUUUAAAUGCAUGAAAAUAAGUCAUAUUCAAGUUGGAAAUCAUGAUUAUUGUAAUGGCAUUCUGCAAAUAUUUGUGAUGGCUUGCCUUAGCACAGAGGAGGUUCAGACUCCUCCUGGAUCUCCUCAAGGCAAGUUUCUCCUUCUGAAAACAUUUAAAAGUGACAAAAGAAAAUGUCACAUAACACAUUUAAAUACCACAGAAAAGAUUUACAGCGGGCAAAAAUCUCAUCUUUUGCAUGCUGAAAGAGAAGAGCAAGACAAAAUUAGUGCAAAAAGAAUCAACUCAUUUGGACUUAUAGAAUAGGAGUUAUAGAUGGUCAAAGUUGAGUCAAAAUAUUUGAAUUAAACUGAAUAUUAGAAAAACCAGAGCGGCUGACGUCGAAGACGUAUUCCAGGGAAUGCGCCUCCACUCAUGCCGCUUCGGGCAUGCGCUGUGAGGCUGGCAGCGGGCCCGCCUGGUCAGGUGAGAGAGAGGGAAAGAGAAGAAAUAGAGGAAGCGGUUGUCACCGGUGCGUAUGCCGGCGAGGAGAGCUCGGCGGCCGCCGUGGAAGGGAAGGAUGGACGUGUGAUGACCCACAAGUAUAGGGGAUCUAUCGUAGUCCUUUCGUUAAGUAAGAGUGUCUAACCCAACGAGGAGCAGAAGGAAAUGAUAAGCGGUUUCCAGUAAGGUAUUCUCUGCAAGUACUGAAAUAAGUGGUAACAGAUAGUUUUGUGAUAGGAUAAUUUGUAAUGAGCAACAAGUAACAAAAGUAAAUAAAGUGUAGCAAGGUGGCCCAAUCCUUUUUGUAGCAAAGGACAAGCCUGGGGAAACUCUUAUAUAGAGAAAAGCGCACCCGAGGACACAUGGGAAUAUCGUCAAGCUAGUUUUCAUCACGUUCAUAUGAUUCGCGUUCGGUACUUUGAUAAUUUGGUAUGUGGGUGGACCGGUGCUUGGGUAUUGUCCUUAUUUGGACAAGCAUCCCACUUAUGAUUAACCUCUAUUGCAAGCAUCCGCAACUACAACAAAAGUAUUAAGGUAAACCUAACCAUAGCAUGAAACAUAUGGAUCCAAAUCAGCCCCUUACAAAGCAACGCAUAAACUAGGGUUUAAGCUUCUGUCACUCUAGCAACCCAUCAUCUACCUAUUACUUCCCAAUGCCUUCCUCUAGGCCCAAAUAAUGGUGAAGUGUUAUGUAGUCAACGUUCACAUAACACCACUAGAGGAGAGACAACAUACAUCUCAUCAAAAUAUCGAACGAAUACUAAUUUCACAUGACUACUAAUAGCAAGACUUCUCCCAUGUCCUAAGGAACAAACGUAACUACUCACAAAGCAUAAUCAUGUUCAUAAUCAGAGGGGUAUUAAUAUGCAUAUAGGAUCUGGACAUAUGAUCUUCCACCAAAUAAACCAACUAGCAUCAACUACAAGGAGUAAUUAACACUACUAGCAACCUACUAGUACCAAUCCCGGACUUGGAGACAAGAAUUGGAUACAAGAGAUGAACUAGGGUUUUGAGAGGAGAUGGUGCUGGUGAAGAUGUUGAUGGAGAUUGCCUAUCCCGAUGAGAGGAGUUUUGGUGAUGACGAUGGCGAUGAUUUCCCCCUCCCGGAGGGAAGUUUCCCCGGCAGAACAGCUCCGCCAGAGCCCUAGAUUGGAUCCGCCAAGGUUCCGCCUCGUGGUGGCGGAGUUUCAUCGGAGGAGAUGGCUUAUGAUUUUUCUCAUCGAAAGACUCCAUAUAGCAGAAGAUGGCCAUCGGAGGGCCACCAGGGGGGCCACGAGGUAGGGGGCGCCCAGGGGGUAGGGCGCUCCCCCCACCCUAGUGGGCAGGGUGUGGCCCCCCUGGUGAACUUCUUGCGCUUAGUAUUUUUUAUAUAUUCUGAAAACGUCCUCCGUGAAGUUUCAGGACUUUUGGAGCUGUGCAGAAUAGGUCUCUAAUAUUUUCUCCUUUUCCAGCCCAGAAUCCCAACUGCAGACAUUCUCCCUCUUUAUGUAAACCUUGUAAAAUAAGAGAGAAUAGGCAUAAGUAUUGUUACAUGAUGUGUAAUAACAGCUCAUAAUGCAAUAAAUAUCGAUAUAAAAGCAUGAUGCAAAAUGGACGUAUCAACGUGCAAGGUCACGGCGCACCUGCAUGUACCUGAAACGUGGAGAGAGGUGAUCGGAAGAGGUCGGCGUGGUCGUCUCCAGCGGCUGCAGCAGACGGAGCUUGUCGGAGAAGAAGACGCCUGUGGCGAGAGGCAGUUUUAGGGGCUCUAGAGGCGUCAGCUCGAACCAGUGGACCACCAGGAACACGCCGGAGAAGACGAUGGAGCUCAAGAGGCAGUGGUUUGGUGCUCGGAGAGGGGUGGGAUGAGUUGUAUUUAUAGGCGGAGGGGAGGGGGGUCUCGCGCUCGCUGGAGGGCUCUGGAAGCGGGGCUCGGCAACAACUAGCGCCAGUGAGAGAGGGGGGAAGCUCCAUGGCUCACGUGGCCACUAUGGGAGGGCGCCGACGAGCACAGGGCGCAGGUGGAUACGAGCACAGGGGCACAGGUGCACUAUGCACUUGGCCUCAUCGUGCCCGUGCUCGCUGCGACGAACUCCAGCAUCGGUGAGCGGCAGGGGCGGGUCAAGGGCGAUUAGUCAAGGGUGGUGGCGCGGUGCGACAGGCUGGGGCGAGCUCCAACCCGUCCACGAGCAAAACAGAGGCACUGGCGCGACGCAGAGCACGCCGACUGCAUGCCAGGGGCCUUGUCCUCGCGCGGUCACCGCGUGAACUCUGGCAUCACGCGGCCUGAGCUGUUCAAAUCAUGUCUGGUGUGUAGUUCGUGCAGUGAGGGGUCUAGGGAUGUGGAUGGCACACUGCCAGGCCGACCAAGAUAGACAUGAGAGGGGGAGCAAGUUUCUGGACAGAAAAUUGUGAGCAAUAUUUGGAUAGGUUCUACAAGGAGUUUAGUAAUGAUCUUUGGAGGUUAAGGUUUACUUAGGAAGGUAAUGAAGCUCAAGAAAAAUCAGCUUCAUUGGAUCAAGGAAAAAUACACUUCCAUUAUAUAGUGCAUUUGAGGACAGAAUGCAGAUGAGGCUUUAGAGAAAAAAUGCUCCACAUACUCAUGAGAUAUUUUUGCAUGGAGUGAUGAGGCAUGAUGCAAAGGAGUUGUGGGAAUUCUCGGAUUUUUCUAAGAAAGGAAAAGAGGGGUUGCUUUGGGAUAGAAGUGAAAAUAAGUCAUUUUCAGAAUGAAAAUGGUUUUUUUCCUUUGAAAGAAAAAUUCCCAAAGCUAUGUUAUGACAUAAGAGAGGUAAAGAGAGGAUGUGGGAGGUGAAUGGAGCCACUUGGGUGAAUGCCAAAAUAAUUCCCAAGUGCUAAGUCCAAAUAAAUUCAUUCAAAAACUCAUUUUCCAAUAAAAUGGCAAAUAAACCCAAGAGAAUAAAUGCUGGCAAAAACCAGGGUGUCACAAACCUCCCCCACUUAGGAUGAAUCUCGUCCCGAGAUUUGGUUGCUCGGGAAAACAACUCUGGAUAGAAAGCUCUCAAAAAGUCUUCUCUUUCCCAUGUAGCAUCAUCCUCGGUAUGGUGUUCCCACUGUACCUUAUAGAACUUAACUGUCUUGCUGCGGGUGACUCUUUCCAUCUCAUCCAAUAUCCUGAACGGUUUCUCCUCAUAAGUCAAAUCCUUAGCAAGCUCUAUCUCUAUCAUAUCGGUCCUUUUCUCGGGUGGUGAUAUACACCUUCUUAACUGUGAGACGUGAAACACAUCGUGCACUUCUGACAAUUCCGAUGGAAGUUCCAACUGAUAAGACAUUGUACCAACUCUGGACAUAACUGGGAAUGGGCCAAUGAACUGUUGGGUUUCGUAGUAAUUUCAAAAAAUUUCCUACGCACACGCAAGAUCAUGUGAUGCAUAGCAACGAGAGGAGAGUGUUGUCUACGUACCCAACGCAGACCGACUGCGGAAGCGAUGACACGACGUAGAGGAAGUAGUCGUACGUCUUCACGAUCCAACCGAUCAAGCACCGAAACUACGGCACCUCCGAGUUCGAGCACACGUUCAGCUCGAUGACGAUCCCCGGACUCCGAUCUAGCAAAGUGUCGGGGAAGAGUUCCGUCAGCACGACGGCGUGGUGACGAUCUUGAUGAACUACAGCAGCAGGGCUUCGCCUAAACUCCGCUACAGUAUUAUCGAGGAAUGUGGUGGCAGGGGGCACCGCACACGGCUAAGGAAUCGAUCACGUGGAUCAACUUGUGUCAACUUUUUUGUUUAGAGGUGCCCCUGCCUCCGUAUAUAAUGGAGCCAAGGGGGGGAGGAGGCGCCGGCCAGGAGGAGGUGGCGCAGGAGGAGUCCUACUCCUACCGGGAGUAGGACUCCCCUCCAAUCCUAUUCCAACUAGGAUUCCCAAGGGGGAAAGAGGGAGAGGGGUGGCCGGCCACCUCUCCUAGUCCUAAUAGGACUAGGGGAAGGGGGGAGGCGCGCAGCCCCCUUGGGAUGCCCCUUUCUCCUUUCCACUAAGGCCCAUGAUGGCCCAUAUGGCUCCCGGGGGGUUUCCGGUAACCUCCCGGUAACCCGGUAAAAUCCCGAUUUCACCCGGAACACUUCCGAUGUCCAAACAUAGGCUUCCAAUAUAUCAAUCUUUAUGUCUCGACCAUUUCGAGACUCCUCGUCAUGUCCGUGAUCACAUCCGGGACUCCGAACAACCUUCGGUACAUCAAAAAUGCAUAAACUCAUAAUAUAACUGUCAUCGUAACCUUAAGCGUGCGGACCCUACGGGUUCGAGAACAAUGUAGACAUGACCGAGACACGUCUCUGGUCAAUAACCAAUAGCGGGACCUGGAUGCCCAUAUUGGCUCCUACAUAUUCUACGAAGAUCUUUAUCGGUCAGACCGCAUAACAACAUACGUUGUUCCCUUUGUCAUCGGUAUGUUACUUGCCCGAGAUUCGAUCGUCGGUAUCCAAUACCUAGUUCAAUCUCGUUACCGGCAAGUCUCUUUACUCGUUCCGUAAUACAUCAUCUCACAACUAACAUAUUAGUUGUAAUGCUUGCAAGGCUUAUGUGAUGUGUAUUACCGAGAGGGCCCAGAGAUACCUCUCCGACAAUCGGAGUGACAAAUCCUAAUCUCGAAAUACGCCAACCCAACAUCGACCAUUGGAGACACCUGUAGUACUCCUUUAUAAUCACCCAGUUACGCUGUGAUGUUUGGUAGUACCCAAAGUGUUCCUCCAGUAAACGGGAGUUGCAUAAUCUCAUAGUCAUAGGAACAUGUAUAAGUCAUGAAGAAAGCAAUAGCAACAUACUAAACGAUCGGGUGCUAAGCUAAUGGAAUGGGUCAUGUCAAUCAGAUCAUUCUACUAAUGAUGUGACCUCGUUAAUCAAAUAACAACUCAUUGUUUAUGGUUAGGAAACAUAACCAUCUUUGAUUAACGAGCUAGUCAAGUAGAGGCAUACUAGUGACACUCUGUUUGUCUAUGUAUUCACACAUGUAUUAUGUUUCCGGUAAAUACAAUUCUAGCAUGAAUAAUAAACAUUUAUCAUGAUUAUAAGGAAAUAAAUAAUAACUUUAUUAUUGCCUCUAGGGCAUAUUUCCUUCAGUCUCCCACUUGCACUAGAGUCAAUAAUCUAGAUUACACUGUAAUGAAUCUAACACCCAUGGAGCUUUGGUGCUGAUCAUGUUUUGCUCGUGUAAGAGGCUUAGUCAACGGGUCUGCAACAUUCAGAUCCGUAUGUAUCUUGCAAAUCUCUAUGUCUCCCACCUGGACUAGAUCCCGGAUGGAGUUGAAGCGUCUCUUGAUGUGUUUGGUCCUUUUGUGAAAUCUGGAUUCCUUUGCCAAGGCAAUUGCACCAGUAUUGUCACAAAAGAUUUUCAUUGGACCCGAUGCACUAGGUAUGACACCUAGAUCGGAUAUGAACUCCUUCAUCCAGACUCCUUCAUUUGCUGCUUCCGAAGCAGCUAUGUAUUCCGCUUCACAUGUAGAUCCCGCUACAACGCUUUGUUUAGAACUGCACCAACUGACAGCUCCACCGUUUAAUGUAAACACGUAUCCGGUUUGCGAUUUAGAAUCGUCCGGAUCAGUGUCAAAGCUUGCAUCAACGUAACCUUUUACGGUGAGCUCUUUGUCACCUCCAUAUACGAGAAACAUAUCCUUAGUCCUUUUCAGGUAUUUUAGGAUGUUCUUGUUAGGUUUCGUAGUAAUUUCAAAAAUUUUCCUACGCGCACACAGGAUCAUGUGAUGCAUAGCAACGAGAGGAGAGUGUUGUCUACGUACCCAACGCAGACCGACUGCGGAAGCGAUGACACGACGUAGAGGAAGUAGUCGUACGUCUUCACGAUCCAACCGAUCAAGCACCGAAACUACGGCACCUCCGAGUUCGAGCACACGUUCAGCUCGAUGACGAUCCCCGGACUCCGAUCCAGCAAAGUGUCGGGGAAGAGUUUCGUCAGCACGACGGCGUGGUGACGAUCUUGAUGAACUACAGCAGCAGGGCUUCGCCUAAACUCCGCUACAGUAUUAUCGAGGAAUAUGGUGGCAGGGGGCACCGCACACGGCUAAGGAAUCGAUCACGUGGAUCAACUUGUGUCAACUUGUGUGUUUAGAGGUGCCCCUGCCUCCGUAUAUAAAGGAGGAGAGGAGGGGAGGCUGGCCGGCCAAGGGGGGGAGGCGCAGGAGAGUCCUACUCCCUCUGGGAGUAGGAUUCCCCCUCCAAUCCUAGUCCAACUAGGAUUCCUCGGAGGGGAAAAGAGGAGGAGGGGGCCGGCCACCUCUCCUAGUCCUAAUAGGACUAGGGGGUGGCGCGCAGCCCAUCUAGGGCAGCCCCUUCUCUUUUCCACUAAGGCCCACUAUGGCCCAAAUAGCUCCCGGGGGGUUCCGGUAACCCUCUCGGUAUUCCGGUAAAAUCCCGAUUUCACCCGGAACACUUUCGAUAUCCAAAUAUAGGCUUCCAAUAUAUCAAUCUUUACGUCUCGACCAUUUCGAGACUCCUCGUCAUGUCCGUGAUCACAUCCGGGACUCCGAACAACCUUCGGUACAUCAAAAUGCAUAAACUCAUAAUAUAACUGUCAUCGUAACCUUAAGCGUGCGGACCCUACGGGUUCGAGAACAAUGUAGACAUGACCGAGACACGUCUCCGGUCAAUAACCAAUAGCGGGACCUGGAUGCCCAUAUUGGCUCCUACAUAUUCUACGAAGAUCUUUAUCGGUCAGACCGCAUAACAACAUACGUUGUUCCCUUUGUCAUCGGUAUGUUACUUGCCCGAGAUUCGAUCGUCGGUAUCCAAUACCUAGUGCAAUCUCGUUACCGGCAAGUCUCUUUACUCGUUCCGUAAUACAUCAUCUCACAACUAACAUAUUAGUUGUAAUGCUUGCAAGGCUUAUGUGAUGUGUAUUACCGAGAGGGCCCAGAGAUACCUCUCCGACAAUCGGAGUGACAAAUCCUAAUCUCGAAAUACGCCAACCCAACAUCGACCAUUGGAGACACCUGUAGUACUCCUUUAUAAUCACCCAGUUACGUUGUGACGUUUGGUAGUACCCAAAGUGUUCCUCCGGUAAACGGGAGUUGCAUAAUCUCAUAGUCAUAGGAACAUGUAUAAGUCAUGAAGAAAGCAAUAGCAACAUACUAAAUGAUCGGGUGCUAAGCUAAUGGAAUGGGUCAUGUCAAUCAGAUCAUUCUACUAAUUAUGUGACCUCGUUAAUCAAAUAACAACUCAUUGUUCAUGGUUAGGAAACAUAACCAUCUUUGAUUAACGAGCUAGUCAAGUAGAGGCAUACUAGUGACACUCUGUUUGUCUAUGUAUUCACACAUGUAUUAUGUUUCCGGUAAAUACAAUUCUAGCAUGAAUAAUAAACAUUUAUCAUGAUUAUAAGGAAAUAAAUAAUAACUUUAUUAUUGCCUCUAGGGCAUAUUUCCUUCAGUCUCCCACUUGCACUAGAGUCAAUAAUCUAGAUUACACUGUAAUGAAUCUAACACCCAUGGAGCUUUGGUGCUGAUCAUGUUUUGCUCGUGGAAGAGGCUUAGUCAACGGGUCUGCAAUAUUCAGAUCCGUAUGUAUCUUGCAAAUCUCUAUGUCUCCCACCUGGACUAGAUCCCGGAUGGAGUUGAAGCGUCUCUUGAUGUGUUUGGUCCUUUUGUGAAAUCUAGAUUCCUUUGCCAAGGCAAUUGCACCAGUAUUGUCACAAAAGAUUUUCAUUGGACCCGAUGCACCAGGUAUGACACCUAGAUCGGAUAUGAACUCCUUCAUCCAGACUCCUUCAUUUGCUGCUUCCGAAGCAGCUAUGUAUUCCGCUUCACAUGUAGAUCCCGCUACGACGCUUUGUUUAGAACUGCACCAACUGACAGCUCCACCGUUUAAUGUAAACACGUAUCCGGUUUGCGAUUUAGAAUCGUCCGGAUCAGUGUCAAAGCUUGCAUCAACGUAACCUUUUACGAUGAGCUCUUUGUCACUUCCAUAUACGAGAAACAUAUCCUUAGUCCUUUUCAGGUAUUUCAGGAUGUUCUUGACCGCUGUCCAGUGAUCCAUUCCUGGAUUACUUUGGUACCUCCCUGCUAAACUUACAGCAAGGCACACAUCAGGUCUGGUACACAGCAUUGCAUACAUGAUAGAGCUUAUGGCUGAUGCAUAGGGAACAUCUUUCAUAUUCUCUCUAUCUUCUGCAGUGGUCGGGCAUUGAGUCUUACUCAAUUUCACACCUUGUAACACAGGCAAGAACCCUUUCUUUGCUUGAUCCAUUUUGAACUUCUUCAAAAUUUUGUCAAGGUAUGUGCUUUGUGAAAGUCCAAUUAAGCGUCUUGAUCUAUCUCUAUAGAUCUUAAUGCCUAAUAUGUAAGCAGCUUCACCGAGGUCUUUCAUUGAAAAACUUUUAUUCAAGUAUCCCUUUAUGCUAUCCAGAAAUUCUAUAUCAUUUCCAAUCAGUAAUAUGUCAUCCACAUAUAAUAUCAGAAAUGCUACAGAGCUCCCACUCACUUUCUUGUAAAUACAGGCUUCUCCGAAAGUCUGUAUAAAACCAAAUGCUUUGAUCACACUAUCAAAACGUUUAUUCCAACUCCGAGAGGCUUGCACCAGUCCAUAAAUGGAUCGCUGGAGCUUGCACUCUUUGUUAGCUCCCUUUGGAUCGACAAAACCUUCUGGUUGCAUCAUAUACAACUCUUCUUCCAGAAAUCCAUUCAGGAAUGCAGUUUUGACAUCCAUUUGCCAAAUUUCAUAAUCAUAAAAUGCGGCAAUUGCUAACAUGAUUCGGACGGACUUAAGCAUCGCUACGGGUGAGAAGGUCUCAUCGUAGUCAAUUCCUUGAACUUGCCGAAAACCUUUUGCGACAAGUCGAGCUUUGUAGACAGUAACAUUACCAUCAGCGUCAGUCUUCUUCUUAAAGAUCCAUUUAUUCUCAAUCGCUUGCCGAUCAUCGGGCAAGUCAACCAAAGUCCAUACUUUGUUCUCAUACAUGGAUCCCAUCUCAGAUUUCAUGGCUUCUAGCCACUUUGCGGAAUCUGGGCUCACCAUCGCUUCUUCAUAGUUCGUAGGUUCAUCAUGAUCUAGUAGCAUGACCUCCAGAACAGGAUUACCAUACCACUCUGGUGCGGAUCUUACUCUGGUUGAUCUACGAGGUUCAGUAGUAUCUUGAUCUGAAGUUUCAUGAUCAUUAUCAUUGGUUUCCUCACUAACUGGUGUAGGUGUCACUGAAACAGUUUUCUGUGAUGAACUACUUUCCAGUAAGGGAGCAGGUACAGUUACCUCGUCAAGUUCUACUUUCCUCCCACUCACUUCUUUCGAGAGAAACUCCUUCUCUAGAAAUGAUCCAUUCUUAGCAACGAAUGUUUUGCCUUCGGAUCUGUGAUAGAAGGUGUACCCAACAGUUUCCUUUGGGUAUCCUAUGAAGACACAUUUCUCCGAUUUGGGUUCGAGCUUAUCAGGUUGAAGCUUUUUCACAUAAGCAUCGCAGCCCCAAACUUUAAGAAACGACAACUUUGGUUUCUUGCCAAACCACAGUUCAUAAGGCGUUGUCUCAACGGAUUUUGAUGGUGCCCUAUUUAACGUGAAUGCGGCCGUCUCUAAAGCAUAUCCCCAAAAUGAUAGCGGUAAAUCAGUAAGAGACAUCAUAGAUCGCACCAUAUCUAGUAAAGUACGAUUACGACGUUCGGACACACCAUUACGCUGAGGUGUUCCGGGUGGCGUGAGUUGCGAAACUAUUCCACAGUUUUUCAAAUGUACACCAAACUCGUAACUCAAAUAUUCUCCUCCACGAUCAGAUCGUAGAAACUUUAUUUUCUUGUUACGAUGAUUUUCAACUUCACUCUGAAAUUCUUUGAACUUUUCAAAUGUUUCAGACUUAUGUUUCAUUAAGUAAAUAUACCCAUAUCUGCUUAAAUCAUCUGUGAAGGUGAGAAAAUAACGAUAUCCGCCACGAGCCUCAAUAUUCAUCGGGCCACAUACAUCGGUAUGUAUGAUUUCCAACAAAUUUGUUGCUCUCUCCAUAGUACCGGAGAACGGUGUUUUAGUCAUCUUGCCCAUGAGGCACGGUUCGCAAGUACCAAGUGAUUCAUAAUCAAGUGGUUCCAAAAGUCCAUCGGUAUGGAGUUUCUUCAUGCGCUUUAUACCGAUAUGACCUAAACGACAGUGCCACAAAUAAGUUGCACUUUCAUUAUCAACUCUGCAUCUUUUGGCUUCAACAUUAUGAAUAUGUGUAUUACUACUAUCGAGAUUCAAUAAAAAUAGACCACUCUUCAAGGGCGCAUGACCAUAAAAGAUAUUACUCAUAUAAAUAGAACAACCAUUAUUCUCUGAUUUAAAUGAAUAACCGUCUCGCAUUAAACAAGAUCCAGAUAUAAUGUUCAUGCUCAACGCUGGCACCAAAUAACAAUUAUUUAGGUCUAAUAUUAAUCCCGAAGGUAGACGUAGAGGUAGCGUGCCGACUGCGAUCACAUCGACUUUGGAACCGUUUCCCACGCGCAUCGUCACCUCGUCCUUUGCUAGUGCCCGCUUAUUCUGUAGUCCCUGUUUCGAGUUGCAAAUAUUAGCAACAGAACCAGUAUCAAAUACCCAGGUGCUACUGCGAGCUCUAGUAAGGUACACAUCAAUAACAUGUAUAUCACAUAUACCUUUGUUCACCUUGCCAUCCUUCUUAUCCGCCAAAUACUUGGGGCAGUUCCGCUUCCAGUGACCAGUCUGCUUGCAGUAGAAGCACUCAGUUUCAGGCUUAGGUCCAGACUUGGGUUUCUUCUCUUGAGCAGCAACUUGCUUGCCGUUCUUUUUGAAGUUCCCCUUUUUCUUCCCUUUGCCAUUUUUCUUGAAACUAGUGGUCUUGUUAACCAUCAACACUUGAUGCUCCUUCUUGAUUUCUACCUCCGCAGCUUUUAGCAUUGCGAAGAGCUCGGGAAUAGUCUUGUUCAUCCCUUGCAUAUUAUAGUUCAUCACGAAGCUCUUGUAGCUUGGUGGCAGUGAUUGGAGAAUUCUGUCAAUGACGCAAUCAUCUGGAAGAUUAACUCCCAAUUGAAUCAAGUGAUUAUUAUACCCAGACAUUUUGAGUAUAUGCUCACUGACAGAACUGUUCUCCUCCAUCUUGCAGCUAUAGAACUUAUUGGAGACUUCAUAUCUCUCAAUCCGGGCAUUUGCUUGAAAUAUUAACUUCAACUCCUGGAACAUCUCAUAUGCUCCAUGACGUUCAAAACGUCGUUGAAGUCCCGAUUCUAAGCCGUAAAGCAUGGCACACUGAACUAUCGAGUAGUCAUCAGCUUUGCUCUGCCAGACGUUCAUAACAUCUGGCGUUGCUCCAGCAGCAGGCCUGGCACCCAGCGGUGCUUCCAGGACGUAAUUCUUCUGUGCAGCAAUGAGGAUAAUCCUCAAGUUACGGACCCAGUCCGUGUAAUUGCUACCAUCAUCUUUCAACUUUGCUUUCUCAAGGAACGCAUUAAAAUUCAACGGAACAACAGCACGAGCCAUCUAUCUACAAUCAACAUAAACAAGCAAGAUACUAUCAGGUACUAAGUUCAUGAUAAAUUUAAGUUCAAUAAUCAUAUUACUAAAGAACUCCCACUUAGAUAGACAUCCCUCUAAUCCUCUAAGUGAUCACGUGAUCCAAAUCAACUAAACCAUAACCGAUCAUCACGUGAGAUGGAGUAGUUUUCAAUGGUGAACAUCGUUAUGUUGAUCAUAUCUACUAUAUGAUUCACGCUCGACCUUUCGGUCUCCGUGUUCCGAGGCCAUAUCUGCAUAUGCUAGGCUCGUCAAGUUUAACCUGAGUAUUCUGCGUGUGCAAAACUGGCUUGCACCCGUUGUAGAUGGACGUAGAGCUUAUCACACCCGAUCAUCACGUGGUGUCUGGGCACGACGAACUUUGGCAACGGUGCAUACUCAGGGAGAACACUUCUUGAUAAUUUAGUGAGAGAUCAUCUUAUAAUGCUACCGUCAAUCAAAGCAAGAUAAGAUGCAUAAAAAGAUAAACAUCACAUGCAAUCAAUAUAAGUGAUAUGAUAUGGCCAUCAUCAUCUUGUGCUUGUGAUCUCCAUCUCCGAAGCACCGUCAUGAUCACCAUCGUCACCGGCGCGACACCUUGAUCUUCAUCGUAGGAUCGUUGUCGUCUCGCCAAUCUUAUGCUUCCACGACUAUCACUACCGUUUAGUAAUAAAGUAAAGCAUUACAUCGCGAUUGCAUUGCAUACAAUAAAGCGACAACCAUAUGGCUCCUGCCAGUUGCCGAUAACUCGGUUACAAAACAUGAUCAUCUCAUACAAUAAAAUUCAGCAUCAUGCUUUGACCAUAUCACAUCACAACAUGCCCUGCAAAAACAAGUUAGACGUCCUCUACUUUGUUGUUGCAUGUUUUACGUGGCUGCUACGGGCUUAAGUAAGAACCAAUCUCACCUACGCAUCAAAACCACAACGAUAUUUUGUCAAAUAGACUCCAUUUUAACCUUCGCAAGGACCGGGCGUAGCCAUACUUGGUUCAACUAAAGUUGGAGAGACAGUCGCCCGCAAGCCAUCUCUGUGCAAAGCACGUCGAGGGAACCGGUCUCGCGUAAGCGUACGCGUAAGGUUGGUCUGGGUCGUCUCGUCCAACAAUACCGCCGAACCAAAAUAUGACAUGCUGGUAGGCAGUAUGACUUGUAUCGUCCACAACUCACUUGUGUUCUACUCGUGCAUAUAACAUCAACAUAAGUAACCUAGGCUCGGAUGCCACUGUUGGGUUUCGUAGUAAUUUCAAAAAAUUUCCUACGCACACGCAAGAUCAUGUGAUGCAUAGCAACGAGAGGAGAGUGUUGUCUACGUACCCAACGCAGACCGACUGCGGAAGCGAUGACACGACGUAGAGGAAGUAGUCGUACGUCUUCACGAUCCAACCGAUCAAGCACCGAAACUACGGCACCUCCGAGUUCGAGCACACGUUCAGCUCGAUGACGAUCCCCGGACUCCGAUCCAGCAAAGUGUCGGGGAAGAGUUCCGUCAGCACGACGGCGUGGUGACGAUCUUGAUGAACUACAGCAGCAGGGCUUCGCCUAAACUCCGCUACAGUAUUAUCGAGGAAUAUGGUGGCAGGGGGCACCGCACACGGCUAAGGAAUCGAUCACGUGGAUCAACUUGUGUCAACUUUUUUGUUUAGAGGUGCCCCUGCCUCCGUAUAUAAAGGAGCCAAGGGGGGGAGGAGGCGCCGGCCAGGAGGAGGUGGCGCAGGAGGAGUCCUACUCCUACCGGGAGUAGGACUCCCCUCCAAUCCUAUUCCAACUAGGAUUCCCAAGGGGGAAAGAGGGAGAGGGGUGGCCGGCCACCUCUCCUAGUCCUAAUAGGACUAGGGGAAGGGGGGGGCGCGCAGCCCCCUUGCGCUGCCCCUUUCUCCUUUCCACUAAGGCCCAUGAUGGCCCAUAUGGCUCCCGGGGGGUUCCGGUAACCUCCCGGUAACCCGGUAAAAUCCCGAUUUCACCCGGAACACUUCCGAUGUCCAAACAUAGGCUUCCAAUAUAUCAAUCUUUAUGUCUCGACCAUUUCGAGACUCCUCGUCAUGUCCGUGAUCACAUCCGGGACUCCGAACAACCUUCGGUACAUCAAAAAUGCAUAAACUCAUAAUAUAACUGUCAUCGUAACCUUAAGCGUGUGGAUCCUACGGGUUCGAGAACAAUGUAGACAUGACCGAGACACGUCUCUGGUCAAUAACCAAUAGCGGGACCUGGAUGCCCAUAUUGGCUCCUACAUAUUCUACGAAGAUCUUUAUCGGUCAGACCGCAUAACAACAUACGUUGUUCCCUUUGUCAUCGGUAUGUUACUUGCCCGAGAUUCGAUCGUCGGUAUCCAAUACCUAGUUCAAUCUCGUUACCGGCAAGUCUCUUUACUCGUUCCGUAAUACAUCAUCUCACAACUAACAUAUUAGUUGUAAUGCUUGCAAGGCUUAUGUGAUGUGUAUUACCGAGAGGGCCCAGAGAUACCUCUCCGACAAUCGGAGUGACAAAUCCUAAUCUCGAAAUACGCCAACCCAACAUCGACCAUUGGAGACACCUGUAGUACUCCUUUAUAAUCACCCAGUUACGUUGUGACGUUUGGUAGUACCCAAAGUGUUCCUCAGGUAAACGGGAGUUGCAUAAUCUCAUAGUCAUAGGAACAUGUAUAAGUCAUGAAGAAAGCAAUAGCAACAUACUAAACGAUCGGGUGCUAAGCUAAUGGAAUGGGUCAUGUCAAUCAGAUCAUUCUGCUAAUGAUGUGACCUCGUUAAUCGAAUAACAACUCAUUGUUCAUGGUUAGGAAACAUAACCAUCUUUGAUUAACGAGCUAGUCAAGUAGAGGCAUACUAGUGACACUUUGUUUGUCUAUGUAUUCACACAUGUAUUAUGUUUUCGGUAAAUACAAUUCUAGCAUGAAUAAUAAACAUUUAUCAUGAUUAUAAGGAAAUAAAUAAUAACUUUAUUAUUGCCUCUAGGGCAUAUUUCCUUCAGUCUCCCACUUGCACUAGAGUCAAUAAUCUAGAUUACACUGUAAUGAUUCUAACACCCAUGGAGCCUUGGUGCUGAUCAUGUUUUGCUCGUGGAAGAGGCUUAGUCAAUGGGUCUGCAACAUUCAGAUCCAUAUGUAUCUUGCAAAUCUCUAUGUCUCCCACCUGGACUAGAUCCCGGAUGGAGUUGAAGCGUCUCUUGAUGUGUUUGGUCCUUUUGUGAAAUCUGGAUUCCUUUGCCAAGGCAAUUGCACCAGUAUUGUCACAAAAGAUUUUCAUUGGACCCGAUGCACUAGGUAUGACACCUAGAUCGGAUAUGAACUCCUUCAUCCAGACUCCUUCAUUUGCUGCUUCCGAAGCAGCUAUGUAUUCCGCUUCACAUGUAGAUCCCGCUACAACGCUUUGUUUAGAACUGCACCAACUGACAGCUCCACCGUUUAAUGUAAACACGUAUCCGGUUUGCGAUUUAGAAUCGUCCGGAUCAGUGUCAAAGCUUGCAUCAACGUAACCUUUUACGGUGAGCUCUUUGUCACCUCCAUAUACGAGAAACAUAUCCUUAGUCCUUUUCAGGUAUUUUAGGAUGUUCUUGUUAGGUUUCGUAGUAAUUUCAAAAAUUUUCCUACGCGCACACAGGAUCAUGUGAUGCAUAGCAACGAGAGGAGAGUGUUGUCUACGUACCCAACGCAGACCGACUGCGGAAGCGAUGACACGACGUAGAGGAAGUAGUCGUACGUCUUCACGAUCCAACCGAUCAAGCACCGAAACUACGGCACCUCCGAGUUCGAGCACACGUUCAGCUCGAUGACGAUCCCCGGACUCCGAUCCAGCAAAGUGUCGGGGAAGAGUUUCGUCAGCACGACGGCGUGGUGACGAUCUUGAUGAACUACAGCAGCAGGGCUUCGCCUAAACUCCGCUACAGUAUUAUCGAGGAAUAUGGUGGCAGGGGGCACCGCACACGGCUAAGGAAUCGAUCACGUGGAUCAACUUGUGUCAACUUGUGUGUUUAGAGGUGCCCCUGCCUCCGUAUAUAAAGGAGGAGAGGAGGGGAGGCUGGCCGGCCAAAGGGGGGAGGCGCAGGAGAGUCCUACUCCCUCUGGGAGUAGGAUUCCCCCUCCAAUCCUAGUCCAACUAGGAUUCCUCGGAGGGGAAAAGAGGAGGAGGGGGCCGGCCACCUCUCCUAGUCCUAAUAGGACUAGGGGAAGGGGGGGCGCAGCCCAUCUAGGGCAGCCCCUUCUCUUUUCCACUAAGGCCCACUAUGGCCCAAAUAGCUCCCGGGGGGUUCCGGUAACCCUCCCGGUAUUCCGGUAAAAUCCCGAUUUCACCCGGAACACUUCCGAUAUCCAAAUAUAGGCUUCCAAUAUAUCAAUCUUUACGUCUCGACCAUUUCGAGACUCCUCGUCAUGUCCGUGAUCACAUCCGGGACUCCGAACAACCUUCGGUACAUCAAAAUGUAUAAACUCAUAAUAUAACUGUCAUCGUAACCUUAAGCGUGCGGACCCUACGGGUUCGAGAACAAUGUAGACAUGACCGAGACACGUCUCUGGUCAAUAACCAAUAGCGGGACCUGGAUGUCCAUAUUGGCUCCUACAUAUUCUACGAAGAUCUUUAUCGGUCAGACCGCAUAACAACAUACGUUGUUCCCUUUGUCAUCGGUAUGUUACUUGCCCGAGAUUCGAUCGUCGGUAUCCAAUACCUAGUUCAAUCUCGUUACCGGCAAGUCUCUUUACUCGUUCCGUAAUACAUCAUCUCACAACUAACAUAUUAGUUGUAAUGCUUGCAAGGCUUAUGUGAUGUGUAUUACCUAGAGGGCCCAGAGAUACCUCUCCGACAAUCGGAGUGACAAAUCCUAAUCUCGAAAUACGCCAACCCAACAUCGACCAUUGGAGACACCUGUAGUACUCCUUUAUAAUCACCCAGUUACGUUGUGACGUUUGGUAGUACCCAAAGUGUUCCUCCGGUAAACGGGAGUUGCAUAAUCUCAUAGUCAUAGGAACAUGUAUAAGUCAUGAAGAAAGCAAUAGCAACAUACUAAACGAUCGGGUGCUAAGCUAAUGGAAUGGGUCAUGUCAAUCAGAUCAUUCUACUAAUGAUGUGACCUCGUUAAUCAAAUAACAACUCAUUGUUUAUGGUUAGGAAACAUAACCAUCUUUGAUUAACGAGCUAGUCAAGUAGAGGCAUACUAGUGACACUCUGUUUGUCUAUGUAUUCACACAUGUAUUAUGUUUCCGGUAAAUACAAUUCUAGCAUGAAUAAUAAACAUUUAUCAUGAUUAUAAGGAAAUAAAUAAUAACUUUAUUAUUGCCUCUAGGGCAUAUUUCCUUCAUGAACAUGUGUGCUAGCUUUCCUCGAGUCUGAAAUCUAUUCACUCCUUUCAUAGGAGUGACUCGGAGGUAAGCAUAUUCUCCGGGCUCAAAACCUUGUCGGUGCUUGGAGUCAUAAUAGAUCUUCUAUCGAGACUUGGCCACUUGAAGUCUGUCUCGAAUUUCUCUGACUUGCUUCUCAGCCUCCAUCAUAAGAUCAGUUUCGAAGAUGCGGCUAUCUCCGGUUUGAGACCAGUUUAGCUUGAUAUGGUGUUGCAGGACUGUGUCUUCUGCCUGGGUCUUGUGGAUUUCUUCUUCGAGAGUAGGAGUGACUUCCAGCAUUUUGGCGCAGUCAGUCCCAACAAUAGUCAGGUUGAGCUGAGCGAUCACUUCUUGCAGCUCGGGCGGCAAGGACUCCAUUAAGGCGUUCAAGUUGGCGGGUUUGUCGCUGAGAGCGUCGGCAACCACGUUAGCUUUGCUGGGAUGGUAGUUGAUUUUGAGGUCAUAGUCCUUGACCAAUUCCAGCCAUCUUCAUUUUCGGUGAUUUAAAUAUGGUUGAGUGAAUAUGUACUUGAGACUCUUAUGGUCGGUGAAUAUUUGGCAUCUCUUGCCAAUGAGAUAAUGCCUCCAAAUCUUCAAAGCAUGCACAACUACAGCCAAUUCCAAGUCGUGCGUUGGGUAAUUGCCUUCGUGGGGUCAUAGCUGUCGAGAUGCAUAAGGUACAACCUUGCCGUCUUGCAUGAGUACACAUCCAAUACCUUUCCUGGAUGCGUCGUAGUAUACGUCAAAGAUUUGGUAGAUGUUGGGAAGUGUCAACACAGGUGCUGAGGUCAGUCGAGUAUUCAACUCAUUGAAACUCUUCUCGCAGUCUUCGGACCAUAUAAAUUUCCGGUCCUUCUUGAGUAGAUCUGUCAUAGGCUUGGCAACCUUAAAGAAUCCUUCAAUGAAUCGACGGUAGUAUCCCGUGAGUCCAAGAAGACUCCUAAUUUUUGUCACUGUCGUGGGUGCUGGCCACUUAAGCACAUCUUUGACCUUGCUUGGAUCCACAGAUAUGCCUUAUGCUGAGAGAACAUGCCCCAAGAAUCCAACUUGCUUGAGCCAAAACUCACAUUUGCUGAACUUGGCAUAUGAUACGUCUCCAACGUAUCUAUAAUUUUUGAUUGUUCCAUGCUGUUAUAUUAUCAAUCUUGGAUGUUUUAUAAUCAUUUUUAGUCAUUUUAUAUCAUUUGUUGGUACUAAACUAUUGACAUCGUGCCAAGUGUCAAUUGUUGUUUUCUACAUGUUUUUUACAUCACAGGAAAUCAAUAUCAGACGGAGUCCAAAUGCAACAAAAUUUUAUGGAGAUUUUUUUUGGACCAGAAGGAACAUAAUGGGCCCUGGCUGCGCCUGGGGGUGCUCUGAGGAGAGCACAACCCACCAGGGCGCGCAUGGGCCCCCCAGACCGCCUCUUUGCUCUAUAAAUACCCCAAUAUUCCCAAAACCCUAGGGGAGUCGACGAAAUAUUCAUCCAGCCACCGCAGAGUCCAGAACCACCAGAUCCAAUCUAGACACCAUCUCAGAUGGGGUUCACCACCUCCAUUGUUGCCUCUCCAAUGAUGCGUGAGUAGUUCUUUGUAGACCUUCGGGUCCGUAGUUAGUAGCUAGAUGGGUUCCUCUCUCUCGCUGAAUUCUUAAUACAAUGGUCUCUUGGAGAUCCAUAUGAUGUAACUCUUUUGCGGUGUGUUUGUUGGGAUCAAUGAACUUUGGGUUUAUGAUCAGAUCUAUCUUUUUAUAUCCAUGAAAGUUAUUUGAGUUUCUUUGAUCUCUUAUAUGCAUGAUUGCUUAUAGCCUCGUAUUUCUUCUCCGAUAUUUGGAUUUUGUUUGGCCAACUUGAUCUAUUUAUCUUGCAAUGGGAAUACGUGCUUUGUAGUGGGUUCGAUCUUACAGUGCUUGAUCCUAGUGACAAAAGGGGAAUUGACACGUAUGUAUCAUUGCUACUAAGGAUAAAACUAUGGGGUCUAUCUCUACAUAGAUAGAUCUUUUCUACAUCAUGUCAUCGUUCUUAUUGCAUUACUCUGUUUCUCCAAAAAUUAUAGAUACGUUGGAGACGUAUCAGCAUCCCCAAGUUUAAUUCCUACUUGUCCUCGAGUAGGUAAAUGAUAAAAACAGAAUUUUUGAUGUGGAAUGUUGCCUAACAUGUUCAUCACAUAUUCUUUUCUUUUUAGCAUGGACAUUUGGACUUUUAUAUGAUUCAAAGCAAUAGUCUAGUUUUGACAUGAAGAUUUCAAUACUCAAGCAUAUCAACAAGCAACCAUGUCUUUCAAAAUAUUAACGCUAAAGCAAGUUAUCCCUAGCCGAUUAUUCUCAAUCAUUGAUCCAUUCAUGAAACACACUCGCAUAUUAGCUACGCCCAAUGCUCAAGUACUAUCAUAGUGCCCCUUAGUUGGUGCUUUAUAAGAGAAGAUGGAGACUCAAGUAAAAAUAAAAAUUGCAUAAAGUAAAUAAAAAGGCCCUCCGUGGAGGGAAGUAGGGAUUUGUAGAGGUGUCAGAGCUCAAAGCGAAAAAGAUAGAGAUAAAACAUUUUGGGUGGCAUGCUUUUCCUGUCAGCGAAAAUGAUCGAGUAGUUCUCAAUACUUCUCAUGCUAGAUAUAUCAUGGGCGGUUCCCAAACAGAAAAUAAAGUUUAUUCCUUUUUCCACCAUACUUUCACUUUCCAUGGCUAACUGUAUCCACGGGUGCCUUCCAUGCCAACACUUUUCCAAGGAAUUUAUUAUUUGACAACAUAAAGUAAAUUCAUUUUUCAUUUUGGGACUGGGCAUCCCUAAUACCUUUGUCGCACUCUCGUGCAAUGGCAAGUGAAUAAACACUCAUCUUGAGAAUAACACAUCUAGCACGGAAAUAUAUCAGUCACCCCCUACCGUUUCAUGAGCAGUACAAGCACACAAAAGAGAAAUUUAUUUUGAAAAUUAGAAAUGGCACAUACAAAUUUGCUUAGAACUGCAAAAGAAUGCCGCAUAUAGGUAGGUAUAGUGGACUCAUGUGGCAAAAACUGGUUUAAAGGAUUUUGGAUGCACAAGUAGUGAUCAUACUUAGUGCAAAUGAAGGCUAGCAAAAGAUUGAGAAUCAUCCAACCAAGAAACGAAAAAUCUCAUAAGCAAGCAUUAAGCAUAAAUAACACCAAAUAAUGCACCACAAGUAGGAUGUAAUUUCAUUGCAUAACUAUUGACUUUCGUGCUUGCAUAGGGAAUCACAAACCUUAACACCAAUACUCUUACUAAAGCAUAAUUACUCGUCAACAUGGCUCACAUAUUAUAUCACCAUAUCGCAAAACUAUUACAAGGCAUCAAGUUUAUUUUGUCCAAUGAUCUUCAUGAAAUUUUUUAUUAUAUCCCUCUUGAAUAUCUAUCACUUUGGGGCUAGUUUCAUAUGUUGCUUUUAAUAAGCUCAAACAAAUAUAAGUGAAGAACAUGAGCAUAAAAAAAUUUCUUCUCUCAAAAUAAUCUAAGUGAAGCAUGAGAGAAUUUCUGAAAAAAUUUACUAACUCUCAAAUAAAUCUAAGUGAAGCAUGAGAAAAUUUCUUCAAAAAAAAUACUAAAGCACACCGUGCUCAAAAAGAUAUAAGUGAAGCAUAGAGAGCAAUUCUAACAAGUCAUAGCAUAAUUUUGGCUUUCUCAAAUAGGUGUGUCCAGCAAGGAUUCAUGACUAAAAAUAAAAGGCAAAACAAGCAAAGACUCAUAUCAUACAAGACGCUCCAAGCAAUACUCAUGAUAUGUGACGAAUAAAAAUAUAGCUCCAAGUAAAAUACUGAUGGUUGUUAGAAGAAAAAGGGGAUGUCACUCGGGCAUCCCCAAGCUUAGUUGCUUGAUUCUCUUUGGAUAAUAGUUGGGAUGCCAUGGGCAUCCCCAAGCUUAGGCUCUUCUUACUCCUUAUUCCUUCAUCCAUCGUAAUAUCAUCCAAAACUUGAAAACUUCAAUCACACAAAACUCAACAAAACCUUUGUGAGAUCCGUUAGUAUAAGAAAGCAAAUCACUACUAUAAGUAUUGUUGCCAACCCAUUCAUAUUUUAUUUGUGCAUUAUAUCUACUUUAUUCCAACUUUUUUAUAGCAAAAACUCUUUAAAGGAAACCAUAGAAUCAUCAAAACAAGCAAACAACACAAAGAAAACAGAAUCUGUCAAAAACAAAACAGUCUGUAGCAAUCUGGAUAUUUUGAAUACUUAUGUAACUCCAAAUAUUUUGAAAAAUUAGGACGACGUGAGUAAUUUGUAUACUAAUCUUAUAAAGAAAGAGUCAGUAUUUUAUCGCACUUCUUUUAAAAAUGAGAAUUAUUUUUCUGGGCACAAAAGUUUCUGUUUUUAGUAAGAUCAAAACAACUAUCACCCAACAUGAUCCAAAAGUCUUUGCUUGGCACAAACACUAAUUAAAACACAAAAAACACAAUCAUAACAGUAUAAUAAUUGUGCAAACACUUAAGAACAGAAAUUUAAAAAAAGACAAAAAUAAAUUUUAUUCAUUGGGUUGCCUCCCAACAAGCAUUAUCGUUUUAUGCCCCUAGCUGAGCAUAUUGAGCAUGCUCUUUUGUAGGGUUUCAUGCGCUUUAAUCAUGGCUGGAACAAAGAAGUUAUUAUUCAGUUUUAUGCCACGCUAUACAUCUCAGGAGAAAUUGGAAAUACCUCUACCUGGACUCUGGAAUGGAUGACUCGCAGAGAGAGAAUCAAAUGUUUGGCAGAUCAUUUUCUGGCCCUGAUAAAUAUUCCUCAAUGUGAGUUUGAGAAGGACAGAGAUCACAGACUGCCUUCAUGGCCGGCUUUAAUGUUUAAUUAAUGUUGUUUCUUUUUUUUAAUAUGCAUGCAUUUAUUUUUUGUUUUUGCGCCGCCAAAAUGGGUCCAGCCCAACGUUGGACGCACGCGCCGACCCAAAUACGAAAGCGGACAUCUGUAUCCGUCUGGCCGGCUCAAACGGAAAAAAAAAAGCAAACGAAAUCGCCGUCCGUUUGGGUCGGCCAGUUGGAGUUGCUCAUUGGCUCGUUCCGCUGUCCCCAAAACUUUGGCACGGCCGUAGCGCACAUGAUCGAUGGCUCUGGCUGUUUGUUCAUAGCCUCAUAGGCAUUCCCUGUCUUUCCGACGCGACAGACAGAGGGAGAAGGUCAAUUCGAGGAAGCGCGGAAACGGAAACAUGGCAGUUCGGGCGGCAGAACCCAAAAACCGAAAGCAAAAGCGCGCGCCCGCGGCCCACCCAAAACGGCCAUGGCAGCCGACGGUUACUCCGAAUCUUCUGCCGCAGACCCCUCUCCCAGGCUCCCGCUCCAAUGCAAGACAUGCAUACCCCACGUAUCCACGGCCGACACUGCCCGCAUCGCCAUUAGCGGGCCGAUUAGCUAACAAGAUCCCAUUCAUUUUCCUGCAUCACCAAGCCCGUAAAUCUCUCCAAGCCUGCAUCGCCAUUAACGGGCCAAUUAGCUUACUGUUGUAAGAGUACCGUACUCCGUUAAGAAGAUCACAUUCAUCUCUCCGAGACUGCCUUUCUUUCUAAAAAAGAUCUACCUAAAAACCAAGCGUACGAAGGAAGAUUCACGCGGUAGCAGCUGAUGCUGAAUCACCAAAGUAGGUCCAUCCAAAAUCGCAUUGAAUAUUCCAAAUUUCAGCAGUAGUAACCGACGCCCCGGUCAUGUACACAGAAGAAUACAGCCUUUGCUUUUUUGUACUUACAGCUAUGAUGCCAGCCACGUUACUAUGAAAAUUUUUGGACGGAAGCAAAUUAAGGACGAGGAUUGGCAUUUCCAUACUAAAAUACAAACAAGCAACCAAUUUUCAGAUCUCAAAUUCCAUCACAUUCCACAUCUCAACCCGAUUUCAGAUCUGGAAAUCCAAAGAGGCAGAAAAAGAAUUUGCAUUGCAGGGCAAGAGCGAUUGACCAUAACCAUAAUUAAUUAGAUAAACAAUGCACUAUUUGUUUUCGACACCAUCACAAGGAUCUUGCUACGCUAAAAAACCUCGACAAAUCAAGCUGCUACGGUAAAACGGAGGCUCGGGGACGAACCCUCGCCGCCGCCGUCGUCGUUUCACCCACAGAUACACCUCCAAGGGUACGCCGGAUUGAACCAGAGCACCCCGACCCGGAUGUAAAAAUUUACAGUCUAGAACACACAAUCCUGGACUACCACCGACACAGAACAGGGGAAAACUGCUAAUGGAAACUGGUUUGCCGGAGGACGGAGGCUCUACUUCUUGGCCUUCUUGGCGGGGGUCUUCUUGGCGGGCGCGGCCUUCUUCACCGGCGCCGACCGCUUGGUGGGCGGCUUCCUGGGGGCGGCCUUCUUGGGGGUGGCGGCGGCGGCGGGCGCCUUCUUCCCUGGCGCGUCCUUGGCGGAGGUCUUGGCGGCCUUGGCGGGGCGGCCCCGAGGCUUGGCGGGCGCCUUCGUCUUGGCGGCCGGCUUGGGCUUCGCGGCGGCCUUGGUGGUCUUGGCUGGAGCCUUGGUCUUGGCGGCGGCCUUGGGCUUCGUUGCCGCCUUGGGCUUGGCGGCGGCCUUGGUGGUCUUGGCGGGGGCCUUGGCCUUGGGCUUGGCGGCGGGCUUCUUCUUGGCUGGGGACUUGGCGGCGGGCUUCUUGGCCGGCGCCUUCUUCGCCGCGGGCUUCUUCUUGGCUGGCGCCUUGGUCUUGGGCUUCUUGGGCGCUGCGGGGGCCUUGGUGAGCUUGUAGGAGGCCUUGACCUUGGUCAGCUUGCCGGCGGCGACGAGCUUCUUGAUCUGCGUCAGCAUGAACUUGCGGAAGUUGGCCGGGAGGUGCGCCUUGUGCUUGUCCUCGAUGUACUUGGCGAUGGCGACGGUGCUCGACCCGCCUCUCUCCUUCAGCGCGGCGAUCGCCUCCGCCACCAUCUGCGCAAAAACAAGCACGCACGAACAAAGCCAGUCAGAUCAAGGCGAACACGAACGAACAGAGAGCACGACGAGCGAACAGAGAACGACAAUGGAGCGAGCGAGAUUCGGCGACGGUCGGGGGGUUUACCUCAGCGUAGGUCGGGUGGGCGGGGGCGGCCUUGGGCUUCCUCGGGGCGGAGGGCUUCUUCACCUUGGGCGCCUUGGGGGUCUUUGCGGCCUUGGCCUUGGUCGCCUUGGUCGUCUUGGCGUCGCCGGCGGGGGCGUCAGUCGUGGUCUCCACGACGGGGUCGGCGGUCGCCUCCACCUGAGGCACCGGGAUGUCGGCGGCAGCGGCGUCGGUCGACAUUGCGGCGGGAAAGCGAGGGGAGAGGGGAGCGCUGGUGUGUUUUCGCCGGAGGUGAGAGAGAUGCGUGUGAGCUGGGUGAGGAGGUCAGGGCGGAGGAGACGGUGGUUAUAUAGUGGGAGACGUCGGGGAGACGGGGAAGGCCGAAUGCCGCGCGCUGAUUGGUCGAGGGGGCGUUGCCACGGAUCGCCCCCCUAAGCAGCCGUCAUCAAACCUGGCGCGUCCGAUCCGUUCCCAUCCGACGGCCAGCAACGCGCCCCAUCCGAUGCCGCGGAUUCAAGCCCCCCCUAGUUGGCCGGCCGUCUCGCGAACCAGCCUCCAGACUUCCAGAGUGUGCUUCUCCUCUCGAUUUCCGAUCAAAUAUCGCUCGAUCGGAUGCACCAAUUCGAAUGCAAUUUUUUUCACUGUGUAGGCAAGGAUCAUGGCUUUGUAAUGAGAUUGAGUUUGUGUGAUUUGGUUGAGUAUUCUGGGAGAAAUGAGCCGGUGAUCAGGGACUGGUCGGGAUGGUGCCUUGGUGGGAGUUUGGUGGAGAUUUCCGGCCGCCGGCACGGGGUGCACCGGCGAACAAUGAGAUUUUCCGGCAUGGUCGUGUAGCUGGUUAACGUAGCAUUCCGUAGGUUCAAGAAUCACGUCGAUCCGACGUCGUUUUGAUAGGCUACGAGUCGAUGGAACACGACCCAAGUUGCACAACUUGUGGAGACCUUUGCUGGUGGUGUGUGAGUUCGGCCGGGCUUUGCACUGUUUGCCGGCGCGAUGGCCGGCCGGCUCGCCGGAGAACCGCCGUGCUCCGGUGGUUGUGGACAUGGGGAAGGCUACCCAGCUGCUGCAUUUGGGUUGUCACACUUGAACUCGGAUGAAUUUGCACCGGAGUGAUCAACACUUGUUCCUGUGGUUGGGGAAAGUCUACCAGGUGAUACAAGUUGCCUUGUUCUACCUCUCAGAUCAAAUUUCAUCGUAAUUUCAGAUGGUUUCCCGAUGCACAACUCAAAUAUCAGCUAGUCUUUGAUGGAACGACGAUCAGGAUUGGAAUUUUUGAAAGUUUUUCGUACUGUUCGGACCAAGAAACGUGUCCAGGAAGAGGGCAAAGUUGGUUGGGUGUGGUGCUCUCUGCCAAACAUGAUGAACGAUCGAGCUGAUCACAACAUUCCAACACAUGGAAUUCACAAGGUUUCGAGCUGAUCCUAUAGUUCGAAAAUGCAAACGACGAGUCAAAUACUGCAAAGAGGAUGAGAGAAUGCAAAUUGCUUGUUUGUGCCAAACCGAGUACCAGAAAGCUCUGCAUGGUCUCGGCUCAUCGUGAGCCCGGGUAAUCAUGCUACUGGAACCGGUGUAAACAUGUGCAAACUCAAUAACUAGUUUCAUGAAGAUGUUAAACAUUCAAAAACCUGAUGCAUCCUAAUCAAACUGCGGCAUCGGACCAGGGACAAGAUCGAUCAACAAGAGCAAAUAAUGGGCGUACGUGGCGUGCACGCCAGUACACAAACAAGAGGUGUUCUUGGCAGGG
This 66748-nucleotide long non-coding RNA is filed under the name Triticum aestivum (bread wheat). RNAcentral describes it as "long non-coding RNA (TAES_LNC006302)". Lineage: Eukaryota; Viridiplantae; Streptophyta; Magnoliopsida; Poales; Poaceae. The record is from RNAcentral.